This 57857-nucleotide long non-coding RNA is filed under the name Vitis vinifera (wine grape). RNAcentral's name for it is "long non-coding RNA (VVIN_LNC005610)". Lineage: Eukaryota; Viridiplantae; Streptophyta; Magnoliopsida; Vitales; Vitaceae. The record is from RNAcentral.
AUCCGCACAUCCUCAUCCGCCUUCAUAAUCUUCUUGAUGCGGGCCAGAGGCAGUUGGUGGUUCUUGAAGUCGUUCACCUGCUCGAUCUCUUGGCGUUGGUAGGACCAAAACAUCUGAAGCUGCUGCUGUUGCUGCUGCAGAAGAUGGUGAAAGGGUUGCUGUGGUGGGUAUGGGGAGGAUUGGGCCUGCUGGUUGUUCUCCAUUUCUUUGUAAUUUGAUUCGAGGGAGGAGGGUGUCUCUGCUUGUUUUGGGAUUUUUUUUUUGUUUUUGGGUCUGAGAGAGAGAGAGAGAGAGGAUAAGGCACACACCCUUGUAUAGAUUCUUUGGUUAUGAACUUAUGAUUAGUACAAGCUCUCCCUUUUUUUUUUCACUUUCACUAUUGGGUGUGAUGGAUAAUUUUUUCUUUUUUGAAUGUGGAACAAAAAAAUCUAAGUUCCGCAAAGAAAUUAAUGUUCUGUGAGGAUAUUGUAGAGUUAACAAAAUUUUAAAAAGGGUUUACAUAUUUUUAUUUAUUUAUUUUUAAUUUUUUUAAUUUUAUUUUGAAUGAAUAUUAUAUAUUUAUAUUGGAUUGAUUUUUAUUGAUUUUAUGUAUUUUUAGAAGUGUGUUAUUUAAAAGGACUUUCUUUUGUUAAGUUUAGAGAUGAGGAUACUGUGAAUUUGACAAAAGAAGAAAAGGGUCUAAGCCCCUUUUGUUUACUUUAUUUUUAUGUAUGAGCAUUUUACGCUGAUGGGGAUAUUUUUGUUGUGACGGAUUCUUGUUGACUUUUUGUGGUUUUAAACGUGGGUUAUUUGGAUGGAUUUUUUAAUUUUUAAAUUAAGCUUUAGAGGUGGGAAUGUUGUGAAAUUACCAAUAAAUGAAAAGGGUUUAUGUUAUUUUACUUAUUUUAUUAUUUUGUUUGGUUUUUUUUCUUAGUGUAUUUUUUUUCGGUUUUUUUAAUUGAUUUUAUGUACUUAUGUAACGUGGGUAUUUUAUUUAGAUAUUUUUUGUGAUCAAUUUUAUUUAUUUUUAAAUAUGGGUAAAAAAAAGGAUUAUUAUUAUUAUUAUUUUAGGUUUAGAUGUGGGCAUCGUGCAAAGGUACCAAAAAGGGUUUAUAUUCUUUCACUUAGUGAAUUCUUUUUCACUUUUUCUUUUUUGGUUUGAGUUGUUUUCUUAUUUGCUUUCAUAGAAACUUAAGUUGAAUUACUUGAGUAUUUUUUUUCCCUUUGCCCAUUGAAGGAAAGGAGGUUGUGCUAAUUGCUAUUUGAAGUACGUCAUUUUACUCCACCAUAUGAGCGUUGCAUACACUUAUGUUCUUAUGAUAGUGAUGACAAUUUGUGACUAGAAAAUAUAGCAUUUUGCUGAGCAUUCUGUUGUACAGGAUUUAAUACUAAUUGUUCCCGCUUAAUUCUUCUAUAUGUCCUACCACAAAUUUAUAUCGUAUUUCGAAUAACUUUACUGACUGAAUACCUUUUGCAUUUAGGGACUCUAAAGGCGCAAAAUAAGUAUUUUAUUUUUUUUUACAUUCUUCUAUAUGUCCUACCAUAAAUUUAUAUAGUAUUUCUAAUAACUUUACUGACUGAAUGCUCUUUGCAUUUAGGGACUCUAUAAAUUUCUACCCAUUUUCCAUGUUUCUUAGGACAACCUUUAUGUGCUAAUUGCUAUUUGAACUACGUCAUUUUACUCCACCAUAUGAGCGUUGCAUACGCUUAUGUUCUUAUGACAGUGGUGACAAUUUGUGACUAGAAAAUAUAGUAUUUUGAUGAGCAUUAUGUUGUAUAGGGUUUAAUACUAAUUGUUCCCGCUUCAUUCUUCUAUAUGUCCUACCAUAAAUUUAUAUCAUAUUUUCAAUAACUUUACUGACUGAAUGCUCUUUGCAUUUAGGGACUCUAUAAAGGAGCAAAAUGAGUAUUUUUUUUUUACAUUCUUCUAUAUGUCCUACCAUAAAUUUAUAUCGUAUUUCCAAUAACUUUAUUGACUAAAUGCUCUUUACAUUUAGGGACUCUAUAAAUUUCUACCUCUUUUUCCAUGUUUCUUAGGACAGCCUUUAUGUGCUAAUUGCUAUUUGAAGUACGUCAUUUUACUCCACCAUAUGAGCGUUGCAUACACUUAUGUUCUUAUGACAGUGAUGGCAAUUUGUGACUAGAAAAUAUAGCAUUUUGCUGAGCAUUCUGUUUUACAGGGUUUAAUACUAAUUGUUCCUGCUUCAUUCUUCUAUAUGUCCUACCAUAAAUUUAUAUCGUAUUUCCAAUAACUUUAUUGAUUGAAUGCUCUUUGCAUUUAGGGACUCUAUAAAUUUCUACCCCUUUUUCCAUAUUUCUUGGGAUAUCCUUUAUGUACUAAUUGCUAUUUGAAAUACGUCAUUUUACUCCACCAUAUGAGCGUUGCAGAUGUUUAUGUUCUUAUGACAGUGGUGACAAUUUGUGACUAGAAAAUAUAGCAUUUUACUGAGUAUUCUGUUGUACAGGGUUUAAUACUAAUUGUUCCCGCUUCAUUCUUCUAUAUGUCCUACCAUAAAUUUAUAUCAUAUUUCCAAUAACUUUACUGACUGAAUGCUCUUUGCAUUUAGGAACUCUAUAAAGGCGCAAAAUGAGUAUUUUUUUUUUUUACAUUCUUCUAUAUGUCCUACCAUAAAUUUAUAUCGUAUUUCCAAUAACUUUAUUGACUAAAUGCUCUUUGCAUUUGGGGACUCUAUAAAUUUCUACCUCUUUUUCCAUGUUUCUUAGGACAACCUUUAUGUGCUAAUUGCUAUUUGAAGUACGUCAUUUUACUCCACCAUAUGAGCGUUGCAUACACUUAUGUUCUUAUGACAGUGAUGGCAAUUUGUGACUAGAAAAUAUAGCAUUUUGCUUAGCAUUCUAUUGUACAGGGUUUAAUACUAAUUGUUCCCGCUUAAUUCUUCUAUAUGUCCUACCAUAAAUUUAUAUCGUAUUUCCAAUAACUUUACUGACUGAAUACUUUUUGCAUUUAGGGACUCUAAAGGCGCAAAAUAAGCAUUUUUUUUUUUUUACAUUCUUCUAUAUGUCCUACCAUAAAUUUAUAUAGUAUUUCUAAUAACUUUACUGACUGAAUGCUCUUUGCAUUUAGGGACUCUAUAAAUUUCUACCCAUUUUUCCAUGUUUCUUAGGACAACCUUUAUGUGCUAAUUGCUAUUUGAACUACAUCAUUUUACUCCACCAUAUGAGCAUUGCACACGCUUAUGUUCUUAUAACAGUGGUGACAAUUUGUGACUAGAAAAUAUAGCAUUUUGAUGAGCAUUAUGUUGUAUAGGGUUUAAUACUAAUUGUUCCCGCUUCAUUCUUCUAUAUGUCCUACCAUAAAUUUAUAUCAUAUUUCCAAUAACUUUACUGACUAAAUGCUCUUUGCAUUUAGGGACUCUAUAAAGGCGCAAAAUGAGUAUUUUUUUUUUACAUUCUUCUAUAUGUCCUACCAUAAAUUUAUAUCGUAUUUCCAAUAACUUUAUUGACUAAAUGCUCUUUGCAUUUAGGGACUCUAUAAAUUUCUACCUCUUUUUCCAUGUUUCUUAGGACAGCCUUUAUGUGCUAAUUGCUAUUUGAAGUACGUCAUUUUACUCCACCAUAUGAGCGUUGCAUACACUUAUGUUCUUAUGACAGUGAUGGCAAUUUGUGACUAGAAAAUAUAGCAUUUUGUUGAGCAUUCUGUUUUACAGGGUUUAAUACUAAUUGUUCCUGCUUCAUUCUUCUAUAUGUCCUACCAUAAAUUUAUAUCGUAUUUCCAAUAACUUUAUUGAUUGAAUGCUCUUUGCAUUUAGGGACUCUAUAAAUUUCUACCCCUUUUUCCAUAUUUAUUGGGAUAACCUUUAUGUACUAAUUGCUAUUUGAAAUACGUCAUUUUACUCCACCAUAUGAGCGUUGCAUACGUCUUAUGUUCAAUUUGUGACUAGAAAAUAUAGCAUUUUGCUGAGCAUUCUGUUAUACAGGGUUUAAUACUAAUUGUUCCCGCUUCAUUCUUUUAUGUCCUACCAUAAAUUUAUAUCGUAUUUCCAAUAACUUUACUGACUGAAUGCUCUUUGCAUUUAGGGACUCUAUAAAUUUCUACCCUUUUUUUCAUGUUUCUUAGGACAACCUUUAUGUGCUAAUUGCUAUUUGAAGUACGUCAUUUUACUCCACCAUAUGAGCAUUGCAUACGCUUCUGUUCUUAUGACAGUGGUGGCAAUUUGUGACUAGAAAAUAUAGCAUUUUGCUGAGCAUUCUGUUUUAUAGGGUUUAAUACUAAUUGUUCUACUUCAUUCUUCUAUAUGUCCCACCAUAAAUUUAUAUCGUAUUUUCAAUAACUUUACUAACUAAAUGCUCUUUGUAUUUAGGGACCCUAUAAAGGCACAAAAUGAGUUUUUUUUUUUUUUUUACAUUCUUCUAUAUGUCCUACCAUAAAUUUAUAUCAUAUUUCUAAUAACUUUACUGAUUGAAUGCUCUUUGCAUUUAGGGACUUUAUGAAUUUCUACCCAUUUUUCCAUGUUUCUUAGGACAACCUUUAUGUGCUAAUUGUUAUUUGAAGCACGUCAUUUUACUCCACCAUAUGAGCGUUGCAUACGCUUAUGUUCUUAUGACAGCGGUGGCAAUUUGCAAUUAGAAAAUAUAGCAUUUUGUUGAGCAUUCUGUUGUACAGGGCUUAAUACUAAUUGUUGCCGCUUUAUUCUUCUAUAUGUCCUACCAUAAAUUUAUAUAGAAAUUAAAUUGAGUUCUUUGAGUAUUAUUUUUUUUCCCUUCGAAGGAAAGGAGGUUGUGGUAAGGAAUAUAAAGAUAUGGGACAUGUUAUCUUAAUGUUAGGCACCGUGUCUUGUUGUUGGGUAUCAAAGAAACAAAUCCCUAAACUUGAUCUUGGAAAAACUACACAUAGAUAUUAACAAAAUGUGUUGCAAUCACCUCCAAAAACUUUCUUCCUAUUUGAAUCAUCACUUGUCCUAGUAAUAAUUAUUUGAAAAUGUAACCUUUCAAGUAUACUCAAUAUCAAUUUGAUCCCCCACUUCCUUUUAAAUGCAUAAUUUGAAUGCACUAAAAUCUUGAUAAAUGAAUAUUCAAUAAAUUAAUAACUUUAAAUAAUAAAAUCUUCUAGUCUCAAUUCAAACCAAUGUAUUAAUUUAAUAACUCUCUUAAAUAUACAAGAUAAUAAUAUUUUUAAAAAUUCUUAGGGACUAAGAAAAUAUAAAUUAAUAAUUGAUAUAUAUAUAACUUUUAUUUUCUCAAGUUACUCCUUCUCGAAAUUAUUAUGUAUUUUUUUUUUAUACCUUUUCAUUUUUUAGGGUAUCAAGUUUUGACCUCAAUUUUUUUUUAUUAUCGUUAAUAAUUAUUUUUUCUUUUUAAAAAUCUUUUAGGUUUCAUGUAUUAUUAUUAUUUUUUAUCACAUCUAGUAUUUUUAGACUUACGAAGUCAUACAUGUACAAGACGAUAUAAACAUAAUACUCUUUAUAAAUUAAUAAAUAUUCAUUUAUCGAUAAAAUAAUAACCUUGUUAAAGAUAAUAAUUUUUCAUAAUUUGGUAUUAUCUUAUACGGUAUGUCAAUUGUCAAAGUCCUCAUGACGACCUGGUUGAAAUGAGAGUAGUUAUAUAGUAAUAUGAGUACAUAUAAUUGGGUGAAACGAAUCAAGCCCAAAUCCAAUUCAAGUUUUAAGCAAACUUGGACAAGUUCUCGUUCGUGUUACGUUAAUUUCAUAUUAAAAAAUUAUUAAUCUAACCUUAAUUCAAGUUAACUGUACUAUGAUCAUUUAGGUAGGUUUUGGUUGCACUGCAAAUAAGAUUGUAAAUUUGGCUCAAAUCAAACUCAAGUCCGCAUGAAAAUUUUAGGCCAAAGUCUAGCCCAAACCUAGCUCGAUCUCCUUAGCGACAAACUUUGAUCCGACUCGAAAAAUGGGAUGGACCAAGCCCGACCCAAGCAUUGUCCUCGAUAAGGAUAUGAUGUACUUUUGUAUAAUAUGUCUCAAAAUACGAAAAAUUAAAAUUAAAAUUCUUCUAAAAAGUGUUCGGUAUUUUAAGUUAACAAGAGUUUGCAAAGAGGCCAAUGUUUCUUCCAUCCCUUAUUCCUAGUCUAAUUCAGCAGUCCUUACGCUCUCUUCCUCCUCUGAAACUGUAAUCACCUCAAGAAGCUCCAAUGGCGUAGCCGCCGGGUCCAGCUCCCGGCAACCCUUGGGAGCAUUUUCAGCUUCUCGGCCAGUAAGCACGACAGACGGCACCUGAUGAGAGAAUCGAAACAGCUCCUCUCUAGGAAUCAUCCUCACGGCGUUGGGGUCCAGGUGGCGAUGAAACACCGCCUUAAACCCCGAAACCUUCACCAACGGAAUGACCGCCACCCCUCCAUGACGAUGAUCCCACUCAUAAUCUUCCAUAAUCACUUCCACCACAUCGUAUUUCUGAAUCACUUCAUCUGGGGUGAGCUCGUUCCAGUCUGGCGACCAGUUCCGGUAAACAGCCCAAACCUCCCCCUUUCUCGGGUAUAUUCGAAUGGCUCCUCCCCCCACUUUUGUCCACUUGACCCUGUGUGAGAAAGAAAUCAGAGAGUCGUAAUCCACAAGCCUUCCCACCUGGAAAUCCCCACUGGUUUUCAUAAAUCCGGAGCAAACCCAGUUGACUGACGUCAUUUCAGUGCUUCGGCUCUUAGUAUUCAGCCAACUGAUACGAAUUCUGAAGGGUUCCAAUGAUUCCACGCUAUGAACGAUAGCGUAACAGCGGGGCAUCCCGUCGCCAUUGUCGUAAGCAGCCCAAACUUGGUUUUCGCGGAAGCACUUCUCCGUCCGAUGCUUGUCGAAAUCAUGAAUAUCCGGCUCUGUAACGCUCAUCGUCAUGGCAUAAAACCUUUUCCCGAUCCUCCCAUGGCCUAAAGCCAUUGAAACAGUAGCUGUAUCAGUGUAGUCCGAGCAGCCUGCGGCCCAUUCUCUCAUCUUCUUCGAUAUUUCUCUCCGAGACUUCUGCACAAGAAUAUUUCGAGCCUGAAUCUCCGAUAACUCCCUUGCAGAAAAGGAAUCACAACAACCCAUUUGAAAUCGAGAAGGACCCAUCUCCCAUCUUCGCUCUGUAUCCGAUUUAUGAUCAUGUACACGCUUUCUCUUCGUUCUCCCGGCUCUGGAUACAGGAGAGGAGGGCGGUGACUCAAGUGCAACAAAAGCUUGACGGCAAUGGACGCAUAUGAGGGUGUGUUUGAGGAAUGUUUUGAGGUACUCAUACUCCAUCUUGCAGCCACUACACAUCGCCCAAAACGUAUCAGACCUUGACGGAAGAGGCCGGGAUAGCGAAGCAUGCGCAGGCCUCUGAUCGUCCUCUACCUUACUCAUGAAGCCACCAUGAACACAAUCCGAUCGCUUCUCAGGCAUAUUGGAAGGCACCUCCAAUGGCGGAAAUUAACCCUAAUUCAUCAACAGAAUAAGAAGAAUGAAAACAAAUACUUAGUAUAUUUCUAUAAAAUCUCAAUAAAAUCCAUUGAGAUUUGGUUUUAUACUAAUAAAAUUUUUUAUUUCUAUAUAUUUUCGUUGGGAAAAAUAUUUUGAAAACCUUAACAUUCCUUUUUCAUUCUCCAUAUUCCAACUUUCAAGCUUGUCCCAAAGGCAGAUGAUUGUACUUUAGAGUUUAGAUCCUAAAUUUAAUAGGAAAAUAUGUGAAAUAUGUAUUAUAUUUUGUAUUUGUAUUCUAAUUAUUUAUAUAACAAGGGAUUUUGAUUACAAUAUCUUACGUGUAAAUGCAAAUUUAAAAUAAUAAAAUUUAAACCAAAAUUAUUGUUUCAUUAAUAAAGCCUUUUAUUUAAAAAAUAAAUAAAUUCUAAAUAUUUAUACGAUGGAUCACAUAUAAACAAUUUACUAUUAUAUUAAAACAAGACGAUAUUAAAAUAAGAAGUUUUUCAUGUCAUAUUCAUAAGUUUUAUCACUUUAAAAAAAUGUAAAUAAAUUUAAUAAUCAAUUUGUAAAAAUAUUAUAAGUAUUUAUAACUUUUAAUACUUAUAAUUGGGCACUUAAGUUUUCACUAUUUAAUUUUUAAUUUUAUCAAAUAUUAACUCCCUUAUCAUAUACUUCAAUGAAUUAAAAAAUAAAAAUAAAUAAUUGCUCAAAAUUUUAAAUAAUUAAAGUUAUGUUUGAUUCCCAAAAAUUUGAGAGAAAGAAAAUAGAAAGGAAAGAUGGAAGAAAAAAAACUAUAAAGUAAAAUAAAAAAUAAAUUCAAAGUAAAUAAUUUUUUUUUUAUAUAUGUUUCUUCAAUUUUAUUUUACUUAUUUUCCUCUAUUAUAUAAAGAUUAAAUAAUUUUAAAAUCAAUAAAUUUCUAACUAAUUUUAAUUUUAUUUAUUUAUUUAUUUUAAUAUUUAUGAUAGUAAAAUCAAGUAUGAGAAAAUCAUUUUUCUUAAUAUUUUUUUUUUUUUUAGUAUUUUCCAAGAAUCAAUUAUAGUCUAACUAAAUAGCAUCCAGUCAAACGUGUUCAUCAACCAUGGAUUUAUAGAAAUUAAAUUUUUACAUGCUAAAUAUUCAAUAAUUUUGACUAAAUCUUUAGAAAACCCAUCAUUAUUUUUAAUAUUUCACAAUCUAUGCCAAAAUAAUAUCAUAAAUUAUGUAUUCUAUAUAAAGCACAAUCAAAAAGUAAAUAUAUAGAAAUUAUAUUUUAUGCAUUUUGUCAUAACUUUUAAGUGAUAAUCUUUCUUUUUCUAUUGGAUUGACUUUGACUACAUCAAAUCUAAGAAAAUUAUAACAUUUUUUCCAUCUAUUUCACAAUAUAUGAAUUUUGAAUUUAAAUAAUAAAUAUUAAAUUCAAAUAAGUAUUAAGAGACAUAAAAAAAAUUACUAACUCAAUUAAAAAUUAAAAUUGUUAGUAAAAGAAGAUUUUCAUUUAAGAAUCAAUUGGAUAGUGUUUUCAUUAGAAUUACCUAUUAAACGUUUAUCCAAAAAAAUAUUAUAACUAAUUUUUUAACUUUUUAAAAUUGUAUUCUAAAUUUUAUUCAUUUUUAAAAAUUAUUUUCUAAAAGCAUUAUCAAAGGACUCUAAAUUAUCAUGGAAUAAGGAAUAUAUAUUUAUUUAAUAUUAUUUUGGAUGUGUUUGAAAAAAAAAAAUGAGUAUAAAAACAUGGGAAGUGGUUAAUUUUGUUCCUUUAUGUUGGAUAUGUAAGGGCGAAUAAACACAACAAAAAAUGACCCAACUUAUCCUAAUAUUUGGAUGGCCUUGGCCAUGAAUUAGGUUUUUUCAACUUGACCUUGACCUAGGUUAAGCUUGGGCCAAAGUUUGAACAUGAUUUAAUGUUUUUAUAAUAUUUAUUAUUCUAUAUAGUAAUAUUGAUUUUCUUUUUAGAUUUAAAAAAUAUUAAAUUAUAUUAUACAUUGUAUUUUUCUUUUUUUAGAAAAUAAAAAAAAUUAUUUUUACUUUUUUUUUGCUAUUUAAAAUUUUAUCCUAUUUACUAUUUAAUUUUUAAUAUAAAUAUAUAUAAAAAAAAAGCUUUUAAACAAACAUUACAUAUAUAUUUUAAAUUAUGCAGGACUAACUAAGUCUAACUUAACUAAUUUUAACUCAAUCUAUAGAAAUGGGGUUAGGUUGGGUUUCAAUUGAAUAUCUCUUACUAGAGGUUAAGUUAGGUUGAGUUAAAGUUAAUUGUUUUUAUAUUUGAGUUGGACUUAGGUUAAUUAUCAAUCUAUCCAAAAUUACAAUUUUAGAAAAAAUAGUAAAAUUAUGACUCAUGUUUGGUUUAUUAUUUUUUAUAGUGACUACAUAUAUAUUUUUUAACUUCCAAAUUAUUAUUAUUUUUAAAACUAUUAAACUCAUUAAUAAUUUCAAUACAAAGUUUGUUUGAUUUGAAAUGCAUUUCUCUAAUGAAAAAAAAAAAGAGGAAAAAUAUGGUUUUAUGCAAAGGAAAAAUAAUAUAGUCAUUUUACACAAAUUUUUGUUUAUAAAUUUAUGAUAUUUAUUGAGUCAUUAUUUGAGUUUUAAAUUAUUUAAAAAAAUUAUUAGACUCAAUAACCAAUUCAACUCAUUUAUGAUUUGUUUAAUUUAAAGUUUAUUCACUUAGUAAAAAAAAUUAUAAAAUUAUGAUUCUAUAGGGAAAAUAAGAAAGUCAUUAAAAUGAAAUUAGGUGCGUAAGUUACUAUUAUUACUUUGAUUGAUUUUGAGUCAUGACUUUAUAAUACUCAUUGAAUCGAUUUUUAAGUUUUAAAUUAUUUUUAAAAAUAAACUUUUUGUAUUAAUGUUGCUUGAUUUGAAAUCAAUUUAUUAAAUAAAAAAUUUAGAAAAGUUAAAAAAAAAAUCAUAAAAAUACAUAUAAUUUAAAGAAAAAUCAUAUUUAAAGAUUAUCGUAAUUAAAUGAUGAAAAGACAAUGAGAGAUGAAAGAUAUGACACUCUACUUUAUUUGUUUUUUAAGAUUUUUAUUUUAUUUCUUAUUUCUCUAUAUUUUUCCGACCAAAAUAACUUCUAUUUAUUUUUUAAAAAUUAUUUUUUAUUUUACUUUAUUUUUAAAAAAACUAUUUCUUGAGAAUAAUAAUCAAAUAUUUCUAUAAAUUUUAAUUUUUUAUUUUUAAAAAUAAAAAAAUCAUUUUUAAAUCAUUUUAUCUGAGUAUUCACAUCAAAAACAUUUUGAUAGAAAUAGCAAUAAUACCCUCAAUUAUAUUUACCUGUUCAUGUACAAUUCUUGUUAUGUAAUUACUGUGUACAGUGUCACAGGAAACUACACAGGACAGUGGCCUCAUUCAGCUACUGGGAUGCUUGAUAUAUAUACCACAUUUUGGCUCUUCUUUUUUUUUUUUUUUUUUCUAUAUUAUUGUUUUUAAAUAAUAUCAACUCUAAAUUAUGCCCAAAUGUGUUACCCAUCUGUUAGUUAGAAUUUUUCCAUAAAAAAUAAAUGAACAAGCUCACCAAUCAGCUCGAGAAUAUUGACACAAAACAAGCUUACCAUACUCUCAAUCUUUAGCAUAGAAAGCAUAUGAAACAAUCUAGACCAUUGAUAAAAGUAUAAAUAAUAAGAUCAAGGUACAAAAAAUGAAACUAGGAAUAAAUAAAUUAGACCAAGAUACAAAACAACAUAUACAAUGUAAUAAGAGCUAAACAUGCAUAUGACUGAUAUGACCUGAUUGACCCCUUUUUUGAAAUGUGCAUCUUUGAUACUAUGGUCAGACCCCAUGUUUAGAAAUAUCCUAAUUGAAAGACCUACUAGACAUCUAGGUAUAAUUUAGAAUUGAUAUUAUUUUGAAAAAUGACUUUGGAAACAAAACUGAGAGCCAGGCUGAAGGGCAGGAGAGAUUUUUAAGAUUUGCCCUGAAGUAAAAUGGGAAGGAAAAAUGGACAAGCUGCUGUUUUUCAUACUGUAUUGAUGAUCAAGAACCAAGAUUCAGACACUAAAAGGAAAAUACAGUGUAUGAAUUUGAAUUUAUAAAGAAGACUAUCCAAAGUUUCCAUAUGAGAACAAGAAAUGAAGAAAGUAUACAAAGGUAAGGUAUGACAGAAAGAGCAUCACAGCCCCUUUGGGUACACUAAGUUUUGUCUAUCUGCUUACAAUUUGUCAGUUUGGAGGCUUUAAAAACAAAAUGUACAGGUCUUCUAGGGCAGCCAAAAAGAAAACAAAAAGGACUCUGCAGUUUGAGCUAUCACUCUUCCCCGUGUAAGCGAAGAAAGCUUACCUUCAAAACUGUGUUCAGAAGUCGCAAAUUCAAGAGACUGUUCAAAAAUUGCAGAAACAGGCAAGAGACAGACUGAUCCGAAGUUGGAGGUACAGCUGAGAGACUUGAGGGCAUGCUCAAGAUUUUGACAAAAAACUGUUUGGUCUGAAUAUGAUACUGUCAAACACAAACAAACAAACAAACAAACAAACAACGAAUGUUGGGUCAGUGUGGGAAAGCCUUCAUUCCAUUGGAGCUCUCUUUGGCUGCUAAGAUGAUAGAAGGAAAAAUGACAAUUAUGUUGGAUCUUUUGAAUAUCAGAGGCUGAAAUGGUUGUUGCAAGUUCCAGAUUUUCUCUUUUCCUCUAUCUCCUUGGCAACCAAAUCCAGCAUAACUGCAUAAAUAAAUUUCUAUUUGGGUCAAGCCCAUGAUAAUCCAAAUGCAAAGCUACCUGUGACAUUACUUCAUUGUCAUUUUGGUUAUGUUUCCUCCACUUCUUCAUUCCCUUUUUCAGAAGCCACUGCCGUCUCUUCUUCCUUAAAAUCUGUUAUCACCUGAAGGAGUUCCACAGGUGUAGCUGCUGGGUCAAGCUCUAGGCAACCCUUGGGAGCAUUUUCAGCUUCUUGACCAGUGAGCAAGUACGAUGGGACCUGAUGAGAGAAACGAAACAGCUCUUCUCGAGGAAUCAUCCUGACUUUGUUUGGGUCCAAAUGCUGGUGAAACACCGUCUUAAAACCAGAAACUUUAACUAGUGGCACAACGACCACUCCUUGAUCCUCAUUAUAAUCUUUGAUUACUUCCACCAUUUCAUACUUGUGAAUAACUUCAUCUGGGGUAAGCUCAUCCCAGUCUGGUGACCAGUUCCUAUAAAGAGCCCAAACGUCUCCCUUUCUAGGAUAUAUUUGGAUUCUUCCCCUCACCCCUUUUGUCCACUUUACUUUGUGGGAGAAAGAAUUGAGAGAGUCGUUGUCCAUCUGUUUACCUAUUCGAAACUCCCCACUGGUCUUGGAAAAACCAGAAACAACCCAGUUGAGUGGAGCCAGUUCAGUGUUGCUUUUAGCAUUUAGCCAACUAAUGCGCAACUUGAAUGGCUUCAAUGAUAUCACACUAUGAAUCAUAGCAUAAUAACGAGGCAUCCCAUCAUCAUCAUCAUAAGCAGCCCAAACUUGGUUUUCACCAAAUGAAAGUUCAGUACGGUCUUUGUCAAAAUCAUGAAUAUCAGGAUCUGGAACGCUCAUCGUCAUGGGUUCAGUUUCGUUUUCAUCAGCAUCAGUAGGAAGGGUAGCAGACAAUGUCUUGGGCCGGAUUCUGUUAAUGGUAUCUGCAGACUCACUAGACUUGCUGGCAUUACUUUUUCUACCACUCACCGUAGCUUUUGGCUUCUCUUUCUCUUUCUCUUUCUCCUGCUCCUCUUGAACCGAAGCCUUUGAUUCAGCAGCUGAACUCCAUUCACUCAGCUUCUUAACAAGUUCUCUCCUUGCCUUCUCCAUAAGCAUAUUUCGGAUUUCGAGCUGUGAUGGCUCUCUUCUAAUAUCAAGCCUAGUACUUCUAGAAGCAUUGAUCCUCCCCAUUUCAGAAUUACAAUUUUGAAAACCAGGUAGAUUCCCGAUCCCAGCUCCUCCAUUUUCCAUUCUCAUUUGAUUUGUUCCCUGACUUCUACUGUCAUUUGGACUAAAUUCAUUUAUGCGCCUUCUUUUAACAGGGCUCUCUCCUUUGAAUACAGAACUGGAACCAAUAUUAGAAGCUCCAGUAGCUAACCCACCACUUUUCUUAGAAACAGUAGUUUUCCUCGGAAGAGUCGGCUCUUUCAUGGCUGUUGUUUUUGCCUCCUUAUGUUCUCUCUCCAAUUUCUCAUAUGUUGGCUGAAACCCAUGAGUAGAUUGAGCACAUGAAGAAGCUGAAGCUGUAGUCCUGACACUGUCUGAUUUAGAGUAUGAUCCUGAUGCAUUAUUUGCAGCAUUAUUUGCAUGGUUAAAUGAGGCGACACCUGAAGAACAUGCUGGUUCUGCAUUUGGAGUAGAAGCAGGAUCCUUUCCAGAGGAAACUGUGUUCUCCUUUGUUGUAUGUAGACCUGUCUGCUGAUUUGAACUCUGUUUCUGUUGGUAGGCAGUCCAUGGAGUGUAUGAGCCAUGAGUGUAGGCAGGUGGGGGUGGUGUCUCAAAGGCAAGAAAAGGCUCAUGGCAAUUGGGGCAAAGAAGUGUAUGGUUCAGAUAAGUUCUAAGGUACUCAUAUUGCAUUCUGCAGAGAGAACACAAUGUCCAAAAUGUAUUAGGUUUUGAUGAACUAGGAGGAGGCCGUGCAGGCUUGGGAUUAGUGGUACGCUUAUCAUCCUUUGCCCUGUGGACACCAUUAUUACCAGCUGGUGCUGAUUGAUUCAUCAUUGUAUUGUCACUGCUGGUAAAAUUGUGUGCACCACUAUUACUGACUGGUGCUGAUCGAUUCCUGUUGGUAUUGUUACUUCUGGUAAAAUUAUGACCACCAUUGUUACCAGUUGGUGGUGCUGAUUGAUUCCUGGUUGUAUUGUUACUGGUAAAAUUAUGAGCACCAUUGUUACUAGUCCGAGAUGCUGAUUGAUUCCUAGUUGUAUUGUUACUGCUGGUAAAACCACGACCACCAUUGUUACCAGUUUGUGGUGCUGAUCGAUUCCUGGCUGUAUUGUUACUACUGGUAAAACUAUGACCACCAUUGUUACCAGUUGCUGGUGCUGGCCGACUCCCACUAGGGACUUUCAGGUUUGCACCCCUUGGAUUGCGCUUCAAAUCAUAUGCAGUUCUCUUGGCUUUAUCAGACAACAAACUCCAGGCUUCAGACAGAAUUUUAAAUGCCCCAUCUGCCACUUCCAACUUGUUUUUGUCAGGGUGGAGAACUAGAGCCAGUUUCCUGUAAUGCUUCCUUAUGGUGUCAUCAUCAGCUGAGGGAUCCACACCAAGAACUCCAUACCAGUCAACUUCCCCGUUAACUUUUCUCUCAGAAGCAACAUAGACAUCAAUGGUUGCAAGCAGCUGAGGAAGACCAUCCAGCCCAGGAUACAAGUUUUGGGCUUUCAUAGCAAACUUUCUUGCUCCAGCCAUGUCCUUUUCUGUCAUCUUCCUCUCAGAAAUUCCUUUAGCCCUGAUUGCCUCAUCUUUAUUACACUCCAUCCUCACAAAUUUUGUCCCUCUCUGUUACUCACUGCUCUAUUAUUCCCUUCUUUACUUCCCUCUCUGUAACUAUGGGUCAAACACGGUAUCAUGAAGGAAGGAACUAGGGUUGCGCAAGCACUGGUACACCAGAAGUAAUUCACAAAGAUCAAAUAAAGCUGUGUGAUUAGCAUCAGUCAACAAUAUUAAGAGUAAGAAAAACCAUAAGAAACUCAAAACCAAUAAUUGAAUGCUACUACCAAUUCAUUAACUCUGGAUAAACCGAAAAGCAUAAUAAUGAGUGCCUACUGCUAACACAGCUAAAUCUGAAAACCUCACUAAUAAUUGAAACAAAACCCACAUAAGUAAUCAUAAAAUGCCCAUGAAAUUAAUUGCAAAAAAAGCGCGCAAAAGGAAUUUGAAAGAACUUCAAAAAUUGCAGGACAGAAUUGAGACAAGGGAGUGAAAUGGGACACCAUUCUGAUGCCAUCUACAUUACUUGCAUACCAGUCACAAUGAACAGGGAACAAGGAACAAACCAACGGUUUGGUGAUAACACAAAAGGCUCAGCAAUCUGUUUGGCUGCUGAGAAAAUGUAGGAAAAGCGAUGAAGCUUGAGGACAUAAAAAUAGGUUGGGUUUGAGACGGCUGUUGCCCUCUUUCCUUUUCCUUUCAUUUCUCAGUAACCAAAGGGACCUUAACUCUCUUCAAUAUUUUUUUAAAAUAUCUCAUUGGUCAAAUACUUGAAACGAACUGAACCAACCCACAAGCAAAAACCGUAAAGAAACAUUGAAGAACACUGAAAUUAUAGACACCCAUUAAUUAAAUUGACCAAAAAACACCAAAUCAGACAUGCCCAUCAACCAUGGAUCUACAGAGGCUGAAACUUCACAUGCAAAGUGUCCAAAUUCAGUAGUUUUGCUAAAACCCUAGAAUGGCAUUAUUAUUUCCAGUAAACAAUCUAUGGCAAAGCAGUUACAAAAAUCAUAUUCUUCCAUACAAAGCACAACCGAAAACCACAUAUAUAUAAACAUAAAUGCACAAAAGAUACGAAAAAAUUUACCUAUUACCAGAAUGUGAACCGCAGAAACCCAAUUGAAAAUUUCUGGGAAUUUUGAAUUUUGCCCUUUCUUUACCAACCCAGAUCAGAUAAAAAAAGCCCCAAAUAGGGAUUUUUUGAAAAUCCUUCAAAACCUACCCAGACAAUUUUCCCAAAGAAAAUAAAAGUGAAAUUUAAAUACAUAAAAUGGUAAUGGUUUUCUGUACUUAGAUUAUUAUUUAGCCAUUAAACAAACCAUUUUAUAUUGGGUUAAAACCCUAACUAGGGUUAAAUUUUAACUCUGGUUAACAUGAAUUGGUAUUGCCAGUUGUUGCAAUUUUCAUUUUAAUUUGAGUGUACACUUCCUUAAAAAGCAAUCAUUAAUUAUUUACAUUUUUUUAAUAUUUUCCAUUUUAGUUAAAAAUUAAAUCAUUAUAGUACAAGGGUUAAUUUCACUUUUACACUUAUGGUUUAUUAUAAAUACAUUAAAUCACGAUUGGUAUUAAAUUUCAUCUAUCAAUAUCUUUAUUGAUAUAUUUCAUUUAUAAUUUUUUUAAAAAAAUAAAUUUAUUUUGUAAAUUAUAUUAAAAGUUUUUUUUAAAAAAAGGAAGAUAUAUUUGAUAAUUAGAAAAUAAAACAAUUUUUUUUCUUAAAAACUAUUAAUUAAGUUAUUUUUAGAGAACAAUUUUAAAUUGUUUUUAUUUUUUUGAAGAUUAUUUUUAAAAAUAAUUAUAUAAAUAUGAAAAAUGAUUAAAAAUAAAGGAUAAAAGUCAUUUAAAAAUAUAAAAAUAUAUGUUAAAAAUAUUUUAAAUUCUUAAAUAAACUUUUAUUUUAUAAAAUAUCAUAUAAUAAUUUUAAAAAACUGUUUUCAAAACCUAUUUUUUAAAUUGUUUUUGAAUACUUCGAGGUAGUGUUUGGUUAGUAAGAACAGGAACGGAAACAGGACACUAAUCAUCAAAGGAAGUAAAGACAGAAAGAAAAGAAAAAUAGAAUUUGUUUCAUUAUUUUCCAUAUAUAAGUCAAGUUGCAAAUCAAUAUUACAAUACCAUGACCAUGCUCAUCUUCUCCAGAUGGCUGAACUGAACGCUUUGAUAAAAAAAGGGACCAAAAAAAGAAGGAAAAUCUAUAUUUUUAGGACAUUGAAACUAAAGAAUUUAAUAGCCAAAAGAAUGGAGGUCACUGCAAUGAAGCUACAUUCAAGGAAGAAGCCAUUUAUGGCUUCAAUUUGAAUUGAACCACCUUGUCUUUAGCCCUGCUUCCGAAGAUGACGGAACUAUGAAAAUCAUAUAAUUGCUCAUGCCUGAGAUCUUCCAUAGAGAUUGGCAUAAACACUUUUGGUCCUAUGAACGACAAUCAAGCUCAGCACAACUGCAACAAGGCAGAGUCCUGACAUGACGCCACAAGUGAUGGAAUAGCAUAUGUACCCUUCACAACUCAAUGAUUCAUCUUUUCCAAGAGGCAGACCAGCCAUGGCUCCCAAGCUAUGCUGCUUGAGGGCAGCUUGUUUCUCUGCGUAGUGGUCGUAUAUGCCACUGGCAAUGACCUCAGAGAAUAUGAGAGUACCAAUAGAACUUGACAGUGUGAGGAAGUUGUAUAAUGCCCCGAAGCUUUUCAAACCAAAGAGCUCUGAGGCUGCUGCAGGGACAAUUGCCCAGUGGGCACCGUAGCCUAGUCCUAUUAGGACGCUCACGACGUAUAUCGCCCCAGGCCAGGCUAAGGCGUAGUAGAGCAGCCCAACUGACAUGAGGACUUGAAACAUUGCCAUUGACACUGGUCUUGGGAAGGCGAAGUUUCUAGUAGAAGAACACAAAUGAAAGAAAGCAGUUAGUAAGAUGAGCAAAAAGAAGACAGCACUCAAGGAUGGAGAUUAGGCUUCACCUUACAAUACUUUCAGAGAAGUAGCCGCCCCCAACCCGUCCCAGGAAGUUCCAAAUGCUGAUCAUGGAGACAAAUACGCUCGUAUCGCUGUACCCCAGAGACUCACACAUCUGGCCCAUGUUGUCAAUAAUCGUCAAGCCGGAUCCAGCAGCUAGUAGAAGGGAUACGAAGAUGAGCCAAAAAUCAGCCUUUAUUAGUGCCUGCAUUAAGGUAAAAUCCUCUCCUCUGCGCGGUCCUCGUUUCCUCUUCACCCUCACAGCUCCUUCUGCAGCUGCUUGGAAGAGCUUGGCUUGCAAAUGGGCUAUUCGCUUAUGCCUUUCGGAUGCUGGAAGUGAAUCAACUUCCACCGGCUUCUCGUCUUCGACCUCACUGAGAAUGACCUCUUCCCCAUCCUGCUCAGACUUGCCGGACUCUUGUUUCUGAGGCUCAGGUAGAAAGGCCUCCUCUGAUGGAGCUAUUGGUCCAGAGAAAAAGACUAAUAUGAUGGGAAUUGCAACUGGAAGCAAUAUUAUAACGAUCAGAAGAACAGUGAGCAAUGUGACUAGAGCUUGGCUCAAACCAACUAGAUCCUCAAGCAGCAAGACCCCCAGCAGAUAAGCAGCCAGGAUGAGGCAAAGACUGAAGGUAAAUAAGAAGCUUGAACUAUCAGAGGGCCUAAGUUGUUUGUGACCUCCCACAGGUCUAACUAUAAACAUCAGAGCAAUGACUACCAUAGAUGGCCCGAUUGCAACCAUGAAAAUAAGUGCGGCUGCAUUAGGGGCAUUGAUCAUAGUGUAUAUCUGAGUAAUAAUUGCGCCGCUCAACCCAGCAAAGCCCUUCAGUAUGCCCACAACGGGACCCCGGUUUUUGGGGAAGUUCUGCACACAUGAAACCAGAGCUCCUGUAUUGAAGUAGGUCUCACCAUUUGUUCCAACAAAUAUACAAAGGCACAGCUGCAAGAAAGGAAAAAAAACCUGAUUAAAGCUUAACCCCACCUUGAAAUACUUGGAAACAUCCCGGUUUCUUGGUCCAUUAAUGGACAAAGGCACGAACUGGCUGGAUAUUCCAUAGUCUAAUGAUAUUGAGAAUUGAUUCGAUCAUCAACAAACAGUCAAAAAGGAGAAAAGAAAAGAGAGAUUGAGGUGUGCAGCCAUGGUCUAAUUCUACUUAGCCUAAAAAUUACUUCCCCUUGAACAGCCCAGGGGAAGAGCUAGCUUCAGGGGAGACAGGUUUCAGGAAAAACCACCAGAGGAAGUCAAUCAUUCAAGUGGCUAAAGUAUAAUAAUAACUGAUAGAAAUGUAAUCCAACUGAAGAAACUAGUUGCUCUGGAUAUGAAUCAAAUCAUGUGGAUCCAAUCCUGCAAGAGGGUUCAUUGAUUCUGCAGCUCUAGCUUGUUUCCUGGAGAAAGGCAAUUGCUAUUUUUCAGGUUUGCCUUUUCAAAUCAGAACCAUAUCAGGCAUUCAAUAGAAUAUUGUUCAGGACUUGGGAGAAAAAUCCGAUUCUAUUAUGACUAACUCACUGCUUUCAUGUAUCUAUAUCAUUGAAACUGGCAACAAUCAAAGUGUUAAACAACAAAGAAAACGAAAAGAUAUAGAACCCAGGUGUCAUUGAGAAACUAAACUAACAGUUAAAAGGAUGUUACAUGUUUAAAUGCUGAGAAAAUUAAGGAAAAGGAAAUAAAAAUAAAAUAAAAAUGUAAGUCAUGUUUUCUAUUGUUUUAAUUCAGAAGGAAAAUGGAAAACCCGCACAGACUAAUCCAGUUGUCUCCAAUAAAAACCAUUCAGAAAGUAAGUUUUCUUCUUCAGUUUCAGAAAACCCAGAUAACAAAAGCACAAAAUCGUAACCACUUUCCUUUUCCCACCUUUUCUCAGCAACCAAACAGACACAUCAAAACUCACCACCGACAGAGGCAAACAAGGCAGUUUCCGUGGGCAAACUAGGCACCCACCCACCCAUCGACAGAUAACAAAAACACAAAAUUAAUCCUAACCGCUUUCCUUUUCCCAUCUUUUUCUCAGAAACCAAACAGGAAACUUUUCAAUGAAACCCGAGUCAUCACAUCAAAACUCACCACCCACAGAGGCAAACUGGGCAGUUUCUGAGUCACCACAAGCCAAACCACACCAUACCCAACAAAGUUCUGCACCACCCCAAUGAGCAUAAUUCCCCAGAUUGGCAAAACCUCACAUAAACUCCCUGCUACGAACCCAAUACUAUCCCCCAAAUCCUUGGCCACACCCAACAUAGCCACCUGCCUUUGAUUAUACCCCAUUGCACUCUUUAUCACCGGCGAAAUGCUCCCAAACAGGUACCCGAUCCCGGCCCAUGACUGCACCCACAUUGCACACACAAACACCAGCCAUCUGUUGUUGACGAAAGCCCUGACUUUCUCCCGCAGAUCAAGCAUCACCAUCUCUGGAAAAACAGCUUCUUCUGAUCAGUACUGUUGAUGAAUUUGCAUCACAGAUUCUGGAGAUUCUGAUAUGGGUGUUGUGAAUUUAUUCUUGGGUGGUUACCGAGUUGGUGGAUUCUGCCAAUAAAACUCAUGGGAAGAUUGAGAUGUGUUGAAUCUCUCGAUACUGUUUCUGUGUUGAAAUUUUUUCAUCGUGUUACCAACCGUCAUUUUAACUGCACCCGCCUUUUGUAACGGAUAGUUGGAUGGUUUCCAAUAGCUAAAAUCAUUUGAGUCUUUAAAAAAACUAAAAAAAAAAUCAUUUCUAUUUUCAUAAUGGUUUUGGAAAAAUCAUUUUUAUGUCUUAAUCAAUUUAGACUUCAUAGUAUAUUUUAAACUAUUGAAAUAAAAUUUUGGAUAUUAUAUUAUAUCAAUGACUUUUCUAAUUAAGAAAUUUAAAAAAGUUUUUGUAAGUUUUCUUCCAAUCAAACACUUUGAAUUAUUUAUAUAAAAAAAUUGGUAUCAGAUCAUAUCAAAUGACUUUUUCAAUUAAAAAAAUAAUAAUUUAAUUUUUUAAAAUUUCUCUUCCAAUAAGACAUCAUAGUCAAUGUGACAUGUGCCCCCACUAGUCUAAACCAACCCAAAAAUCAUCUAAUUAAUACAACCGAUUUGAGAUCAAAAUAUUUAUUAUCAUAUGAAUAAAAUACUUAGAAAAAUUCAAACAUGGUGGUAAUUGGAAAUAUUAUAAUAGCAAUAACACCUAAGCCAUUUUCAUGAACAUGGUCUUCUGCAUUUUUCCCUUCUUUUGUUUUUUCAUUCAUGUCUAUCUAAAAACAUGUGCAUGAUGCGAUAGAAGACUUUACCCAUGAUUGUCAGUGAGUGGUGGAAAUCCCAUAUUGAAACUGCAUAUGUUAUCUGAUUAUAUAAAGAGCCUUUCUACAUGGAAUGGAUGUGCACGACACAUAUUUUAAUUGUCAAGAUAUAUAAUCAAAUGAUCUAUCAUAUUAUAGUUGCAUUAGCUUGACAUAUCAUAGGAUUUACCAUUACUUAAGGUUACAUUUGGUUCCCCGAUGUAGUGUCAUAAGAUAUGAAAUAAUAUAUUAUAUCUCAUAUUUAAUUGAAAAUAAAAUAGUAUAAGAGUUUAGGUGGUUUUUCCAUUAUCAAGAUGAAACUUGGGUGAAACUAAGUAAAGAUCCAAACCGACUGAUAUUGAAGAAUCAACGAAUAAGUUGUAGUUAGGGGUGAAAUGUUACUUGCACUCAAAGUUGGUUGAUUAAACAUUUAGGGAUAAAGUACUCUUCUAGUGCGGCCACAAGAGUAGUAUCAAAUUAAGACAAACUCUGAAAACUAGAUAUGACCUUAAAAGGUUAAGGUUGGUUAAUGAGACAAUGAAGGAUAAGUUUCAUUUGUCAAGAGGGAAACAAUCCGCACCGAUUUUAGGAAACUCUUCUUAAUUUUCAACACUUGAAAAUUUUUAUUAAAAAAAUAGUUCUAUAAGUUAUGUUAUCAAUUAUCAUAUCUCAUCUUUAACCAAAUAUGAAAUAUAUUAUCUUUUUUAUUAUAUACACCAUGCAUAAAAUAUAUUUAAAAAAAUUAUAAGGAAAACAUUUUGACUUAUUACUUAUAUUUUUAUCUACUUAUUACUAAUUUUUUAAAAUAAUAUAAAAAAUCAAAAUAUUUAACUUUUACUUAACACUAAAAAUAUCUUUUUGAAACAACUAAAACACAAUAUCAAUAUGAUUCUCACCUUAUUAAUAUUAAUACUAAAUAAGAAUUAAAUAAUAAAAAACAAAACAACUUAAUAUUUAAUACUAUUAAGUUAUAUUUAAAGCUAAAUUAAGUUUUGUUUAGAUUUACGUAAAAAACCAAACAUCACCUAAUAGUAGUGCCCGAUAAAUUAGGUUUAAAACCCGUUAGCCCGUUACUACGACUAAGGUUAAUCAUUUAGAUCAAUUGAUAACAAAAAUAUAGCAAAACCAAAAUGGGGGUUUGCAGAAUCAUGAGAAAAAUUGGUUCACAUUUGUUUGAAAGUCAUAUUGAAUAAAAAAUUACCCAACUGAGGACGUACACGCACAAGUGUUUGACUUGGUGUUACCUGGCUAAACACAUUUUUAUAUCAUUACAAUGGGAUUGCAUUAAGAAGGAUUAGCACGGAAUCUGGCCAUGUGGCCGAUUGUAUAUCUCAUGUUUUGAUAGCUUAUAAGGCAUAAGUCGAACACGCAAUUUAUUUAGAGAGAGAAAAAAAAAACAAAAAAACAAACAAACUUGGAAAUUUAAAGUGUUAGGUUGAAUUUCUUGUCACUUCACAAUUUUUUGUUCGAAAGCAUGAAGGGCUUUUUGUAGGUAGCCCUAUAAUUUACUUGAUGUGAGACAAUUGACCAUUAUGGAAAUAUCUACAUGAUGUUGCUUGCCAGUUCCACAAUUCCCCGUUUUUCAUGAAGGCUAGAACCACCGAGCUGCUCAGCUGGCUAAGGCUAAUGGCGUGUUGUCACGGGCCACUAGUCAUGUGUUGGAUUGACUUUGAAGAGCUAAAAAUACACUUUACCCUUUCAACAUUUAACGUAUUUUGCAUAUUAUCCCCUCGAGUUUAAUAUCGAACAAAUUAUUUUUCAAGCUUCUUAAAUAUUAGCACUAUGCCUUUUUUUGUUAGACAGUAUUGAUUUGAAUGAACAAAAAUGUCAUUUGUUGUGCACUAACUUAGUAAGGACAAAUUUAUAAAUUGAAUCACCGAAAUAGAAUUGUUCCUUCUUCCAUUUGUUCUUCCAACAAUCCUUAAACACCCACAAGCCCAUUUCAAUCCUCAAGUCAUGGCUUUUUUCAAGUAAGCCUAGGUUUAUUUUGCUUUUCAUUUCUUUCCAUGAAAUUUCCAUUAUUUUUUUUUUUUACUCAUUGGGAACCUUUUUUCUGGCUUGUUGAUUAGGUUUUGUUUUCAAGCAAAAGGGUUUUCGUUUUUUAUGCCUUUUUGCUCCAUUUGAUUUCUAGGAAGUUGAAGGAAAAGAUAAUGGAUAAAUGAAAUCUUGUUAUUUGUUUUUUUCAUUGUUUUUUUUUUUGGAGAAUUAUCUUUUGGGGGUAGAUGGGGCCCCAAAUUAACAAAAGGUCCAUAUAACUCUUCAAAUUGAGUUGAAGGAUAUGAAAUAGUAAUGGACAAAUAUACCCUUUAAGAACACAUAUAAAAUGUUUUAUAAAAUUAAGUUAAAUAAUUUUUUUUCAAUAAUUUUUUUUUCAAAAAUAUUAAAUUAAAUAAAAGUAGUUUUCAAAAAUAUUAAAUUAAAUUAAAUAUUUUUUAAAUAUUAAAUUAAAUAAAUUUAUUUUUAAAAAAUAUUAAAUUAAAUAAAUUUAUUUUUAAAAAAUAUUAAAUUAAAUAAAAGUAUUUUUAAAAAAUAUUAUUUUUUUUUUCUCAAAAUCAAUAAAGGGCAUUUUUUAAAAUACUGAAGGAUGAUAUCCUUCAAUUUAAUUUUCAUACUUUCAUUGGGUCUUGGGCUCAAUUUGAAGAGUUACAUGAACCUUUUGUUAAUUUGGGGACCCAUCUACCCCCAAAACAUAAUUCUCCCUUUUUUUUUUGGCAGUUUUAUUUUCAAGUAAAGGGGGUGGUUUUCAUUUUUUAUGCCCUUCUACUCUAUUUGGUUGCCAGGAACUGAAGGAAAAAAGAAAGGAUAAAUGAAUAUCUGUUAUUUAUCUUUUUCUAGGCGGUUUCGUUUCAGGGCAAAGGGAUUUUCCUAUUUUAUGCUAUAAUGCUCUGUUUGGUUGCUGGGAAAUUGAAGGAAAAAGGAAAUGAUGAAAUCCUGUUAUUUGUCUUUUCGAUCAUUUUCUGGGCAUUCUCUAUUAGGCAUGAGACCAAUUGUAAAUCAUGGUGAGACAUAAUUAGGUUAACAGGUUUUUAGUUUAUCUAGAAUCAUAUAAGACAGAGUUAUUCAAAAAUCUAAGUAGGCAUUAAAAAAUAAAGAAAAUCAAUCAAAGCUUUGUAGUUAAUAUUCUUCAACUUUUAGUUUUCUUUUCAUCGUUUUGUAGAUUUUUAAUUGUUUUGUAGAUAUGGUAGGUCUUUGAGGAUUUAGAGUUUUAGGAAGAACGAGGAAAUAAAAGAAGGAGAGUUUACUUCUAUUUUGGUGAUUUAAUUUACAAAUUUAUCUUUAUUUAUUAAAUCAUGCGCACAACACAUGACAUUUUCGUCCAUUUGAACUAAUAUAACAAAAAAGGCAUAGUAUUGGUGUUUAAUAAGCUGAGAGGGCAAUUUGUUCGAUUUUAAAUCUAAUGGGGUAAUGUACAAAACACAUCAUAGGUUGAGGAAGUAAAGUGUAUUAAACUCUAAAACUUAAUAAACGUUGUUGUACUUGUUUGACUAAUUUUGUCAAAAGACCUUAUAAUUAAGAAAAUAAAUUUUGAAAAUAGUUUUUAAAAAUGAUUUUAUGAUGUUUUGUAAAACAAUCAUAUGUUUGAAAACCUAAAAUGUUUUUAAUCUGUUUUUAAUAUUUUUAAAUAUAUUUUAAUGAUAAUUUUUAUGUUAGUGUUUUAUUUUUAAUCAUUCUAUAUAUUUAUAUAAUUAUGUUUUAAAACAACCCUAAAAAAAUAAGUUAAAAUAAAAAAUAAAAAAUAAAAACAAUUAAAAAAAUAUUCCCUAAAAAUACCAUAUUUUAUGUUUUUUAAGAACAAAAAAUAGAAAAUGGUUUUUAAUCAUGUGUUUUCCUAUUUUUUUUGUUCUCGAAAAUAGAAAAAAUCUUAAAAUAAAUAUUGCCUCUUAUACAAGCUCGAACUUAUAACUAAAAAGGAGUUUUAAGUCAAGAAAAUACUACUUAUCAUAGCUCUUUUGUUAUGAUACGUCUAAUAAAAAUUUUAGAAUACUAAUAUUGUAUUUUGAAAAUUAUGACAUGGAUUCCAACCACUAGUGAAAGCCAAAAACAGAAAGCUAUCUUGUGUGGAUCAUGAUGUUGCAGCUACUUGAUUGGAAGUGGUACCUACCUAGCUUCUAGAAAUUGAAGAAACUACAAAUAAAAAACAAACCUACUAUUUAUGGUGAAAUAAAACAAAUAAAGACAUGAAGGUUUGAAGUAGACAUGAUUUGAAGGCCAAAAUAUCUGUAAAAUUCCAUGGGCCAAUCCUCUAAUCAACAACAAAAGGUAAGCUGAAAGCUAAUUAACUCAUCACUCAUCCCAUCAAAAAUCAGAUCGGUUUUCAUUUCAAACCUACCUACACCCAUAUUGGGAAUCUACAACAACACUGAUGAUCUCAUCUAGGUUGAAAAGAAUGACAAAACUAAGAGGCAAAACACUUACUAAUACUACUAACAGACACUUCUCUAAAUUCUCUUCAUUGGUUUGCAGGUAUUGGUUUCAUCACACAAUGUGGAUCAUGCUUUCAACAUACACAUCAGUGAAAAUCUAAGCAUUCCUACUUCAGCCAUGCCAUGUGACAUGUUAAGAGCAUCGAGACUUUCACGAGAGCAUGUCAGCGAUCUAUAUGAGUUCACCAAUUGUUUAAUGUAUCACGCCAAAGGAAGCUACAAUGUAAUCAAUAUAUAUAUAUAAACAUUUAAGGGAAAAAUGCUCAUACACCCCUUAAACUUUUAACUACCGGUCAAAAGACCCCCUUAACUUUUUUAUUGGCCAAUUUACUCCUUAAACUAUUCAUAACUACCAAAUUAAUACUUCAAUUAGUCACACGUUAAAACACUAACGGAAUAAACACAUGCCACUCACGUGGCUUUUAAAUACAAACUGAAAAACACCCAAACAUCCAAAACCCAAUGGAAGAGAAGAGAACCAGUCCAGGUCCGGCAGAGAGAGAGAGAGAGAGAGAGAGACUGCACGCCGUUCAUAGCCACUGCCAAGCUUCUCUCCGCCGUCUCGCCGCCCUUGUCUCGACGGCUCCUUGGUGGUUCCGCCGCACUGUUCAAUCUGGGUAUGUUUUUUUUUUUUUUUUUCUUCUUACGUCUUGCUAUUUAAAUUUUCAAAGAACUUUUAUUUUUUUUUUAAUCUCCAUGUGCGAAUUUUUAUUGUAGAAAUUCUUGUUUUGGUUUAAUUUCUGGGUUGGGUCUCUAUGAAAUUCUUGGUUUUUUACUUUCUCCAUGUGUCUUUCACCAACUGUUGCAUUUGAGUAUGCCAUAGAGCUGUUUGAUUAAAUGCCUGAGAGAGAUAUGGCUACUGCUAAGGGGGUUUGGUUGCUUGGUUAUCCAAUUUUCCAAAUAUGCUGGCCUUCUAAGUUUCCCUUGCAACCCAUUUGCAACAAAAACAUAUCAAACACGAAUUAUUAUUUCUUCCCAUUUGCACUUCAAUUAUUAUUUCUUAAUUUUCUCCUUCUUCAUGUAGAAAUCAACCCUAAAUAUUUCCCUUAUUUGUUUCAGCAAAUCAGAUAAUGUAAUUUACAAGCUCAAAAAGAUGGGAAAGAUUGGGGAGAAAGAUAUAUUGCUGAUCUGCGAUUACUUCAGUAAGCUUGAUCGCAACAACUUUGGGAAGAUAACACUACCAGAUCUUUAGGAACCUUGUGACUGCAAGAAUUAUGAAAUCUGUUUCUAUUCUUUAGAUGGAAGAAAUGUAUAGUUACAUUUUUUUUCUUCUUCCAUUGAUACUUGUAAAGGUUUCAAGUCAUAUAGGAGCAAUGAAAAAUAGAAGCCAAUGGGAUAUGUCCCCCUUCUGUUAUAGGUUCUCUUACAGCCAUUAAAUUGAGAGGCUGCUAUGGAGGGUUUGAGUUGUGUGAUGUAGAUUUGACACUGUAAUAAUUCAAGUAGUCAACAAGGAAAGCAAACAAUCUUGGGAUGAUCUUACUUCUUCUCUUUAUUUUGAUUCAAGUUGUAUGAGUGAUUUGGUUGAUGCGUACUUCUUCUCUUUAUGCAAUAACCACUAAAAAUGAAUGUGUCCCAAUCUGCCAUGAAUUGAACUUUAUGCAAUAACUCUAAGAAAAUAAAUCAAUAAUUACACUUUUCCGGCAAUAUUGAAAAACAAAAGUAUACUGGCUCCAUCAGUAUUCUUAAAAGGAUCUCAAUAUGCCAUGAAUUGAAAUAUCAAAUAAGUAUUCACAAAUGGUAUAUUGUUUGCCAAAAAAAUAACACUCAAUGAAUCAAUAAUUACACUUUCCAAGCAAUAUUGAAAAACAAAAGUAUAUUGGCUCCAUCAAUAUUUUUAGAAGGCUGUGUAUCACUAAACAAAUUAUUGAACUAAAAAAUUAUUUAUCUUCUUGCUGCCACUAAACCUUAGCCUUUCCCUUAUCCUUCUUGCUUCCACUAGUGUUGUCUUUUGUACGACUUUGACUUGACUGUUAAGUACCUAUAUUUGAUUGCUGAGUACCUUAUAAAAAGCCAAAAAAUUUGAAAAAGUUUAACAAAGUAGUACUUGAAAUUUGGAUGAAAAGUUCAACAAAGUAGUACUUGAAAUUUACCAAUAAUUUUUUACUCCCUUUAGCUCCAGAUGUAGAUGAUUGUUCUAAUUGCCCUUUCUUUUUCUUUUUAUAAGCCUUCUUGUUGGGGUUAUCAGGAGCUUUACAAGUUCUUUGAUUAUGGCCCCACCGGAAACAAUUCCCACAUUUCAUGGCAGUUCCUUUCUUGCUCACCCUAAAUGCAUUAAUAGGUUCUCCUGCCUCCCUCUUUCUUACCUUCUUAUGCUUGCCUACUUUCUUUGUAAAUUUUGGGGGCUUGAUUAGGUCAUAGGGUGUUUUUGGCCAUUGUUCAUGGCUUGGAAGUGGGCUUAUCAUCCAUUGGUAACAACUUAAGAAUGUCUCCUUAGUGUAAGCAAUGUCUACAUAAGUCUCAAGUUGCUCUCCAUGCUCAAUUAUUGCAGCAGCAGCAUGAAAACAUGGGAUUCCACUCAAUCCCCAUCUCCCACAACCACAAGUCCUCUCAUUCAAGUCCACCACAUAUCUUCCACCAUAAAUAUACUCCACCUCAUAUUUGGACUCUCCAUUCCAACGAGAAAUGCAAUGUCCAACCUCGUUUUUUAUCCUCUCAAGCUUCUUAUAGAUUCUUGGACAAACCCUCCCUUCAUACCUUCUCAUAUGAUCUCUUUUGGUUUGCAACCUUUGCAUCAACAUCACUCUUAUGAUCUCUAUCGUUGUCAACACUGGUUUAUCCCUAGCCUCCAAAAUCCAAGCAUUGAAAGACUCUGCUAUAUUGUUUACUAGAGUGUCACUCUUGCUUCUUGGAUUAAAAGCAUGUCUGCUCCAUGUUCUCACAUCUAACUUCACAAGCCACUCAUAUGCCUUCACAUCUAGCUUCUUCAACUCAUCCAUGUGGAAGUCAAAAGAAUGCUUUGUUGUUGCCCUAGCAGCACUCCACAUUGCAUCUUUGAGUACCUUCCCAGGAAAAUCCUUCUUGAAAUUUGCAUGUAAAUGCCUAACACAAAAUCUGUGCUCUGCAUUAGGCAUCAAAUCUUUAAAGGUCUCUACUAAUCCCUGCCAUAAAAAAUACGCAAAUAUACAUUAGUUAUUCAUAUUCAGGUUAUAGAUCAUGAUAUUUUUAAAAAAUAAAUAAAUAAUUCACAUGCACAUUAAUUGUUUCUUGCCUUCUGUCGGUCUGAGAUAAAGACCCAUCCAUUCUCAUCCACAUGUCCAAUGUCAUCCAACAAGAAUUGUAGAAACCAAGUCCAAGAGCUUUUAUUCUCAAUUUCAACGAUAGCAAAAGCGAUUGGGAAGAUAUUAUCAUUCCCAUCCUUUCCAACAGCAACCAGCAACUGUCCACCUGUUGUCCCCUUCAAAUGACAACCAUCUAUCCUAAUAAGUGGCCUAUAACUUGCUAAAAAUCCCCUUUUGCAAGCAUCAAGACAAAUAUACAUUCUCUCAAACACAUCAUUCGUAGUUUGUAUCUUCACUGUGCUACCCACAUUCCACUUCCUAAUAGCAGCUGCAUAGUCCCAAAGUCUCUCAUACUGCUUCUCCUCAACACCAUGUAUCAUCUUGAAUGCCAUUCUCUUAGCCUUAUAACAUUGGUCCAAAGUCACAUCAACUUCAUGGUCCUUAAACACUGCACCUUUCAAUGCAUUUGUUGUCCAAGUAUGAUCAUCUCUAAAGAAUGGCAAAUAUUUAUUGGCUAGCCACCUUGAAGAAAUCUUACUAUUCUUAUGAUCCUUGCCACACGUAUGAAUGCUUUUAAAACUUUUGAUUUGAAAGGCAUCUCCCAUUUGUGUUUGGGAUGCAUGUAUCUUCCAACCACAUUUUUUUUUUACAUACAGCUAUCACUCUCCACUUAUCAUUGUGCUUAUACUCAAAAUCAUGUUUUUCUUUAAUACACCACUCCUUUAGUGCCUCCUUGAAGAUGACAUGUGAUGCAAAUUUUUUAUCCUUCACUAGCUGUACAUUCUCCAUGCCAAUGCGCUAGUUAAACUCAGGGAACCUAGGCCUUGAAUUCCCUUCAUCAUCAGAUGACCCUUCUGCACUCCUUAACUCAUCACUAUCCCCAUGAUCUGAAUCUCCUUCACCAUUCCAAACUCCCUCAAGCUGCUUGCCUCCAAUUGCUCUAUUGAUUCCAUCAUCCUCCAUACCAAAAUCUUCAAUUAUAUGAUCAUCAUAUUCAGAAAAAUCACUCAAAUUGUAAUCUUCGUCAUCCUCGUCAUCCUCCACAUCAAUUGGAACAUUAACAAUUUCAGAUUGGCCAUCAGCCUCAAUAAAAUCAUAUUGGGAUUGAGGGGCUUGUACAUUUGGCAUAGAAGGUGAAUUUCCAGGGAGUGACAGUGGACUUUCAUCCAUGGCUACAAUACAAAAUUAACAAGAACAUUAAUAGAAGAGCUGGAGAAAACAUAAUUAAACAAAAAAAAAAACAAUAUAGAGAAUAGUGAGAAAAAAAAAUAUAACAAUUUGCUCAUGCACAUGUGCAUGAUUGCUGCUAGUUCAAUUCACAUAAUUCAAAAUAUUACAACAUGCUAGCUUAGUCAGUAGACCAUAUGGCUGGAAUCAUUACACCGAGACCCAGUAUCUUUAACACUAACCAAAAGCCAUAUCUUUAACAGUAAACUAUAUAUUACAUAUUAAUAUUACUUAGCUGCACCCAGCAUCUUUAGGGGAAAAAAAAAAAAGAUGCACCUAGCAACAGUAGAAAAAUGUAAAAAUUAAUAAUAUUCUUUUGAAUGGAUCCAUAUUCCAAAGUAUUUAGAAACCUUAAAUCAGUUGAGUUACAAAGACAUUCGGCGAUCAAAUUCCCUUUAUCCUAACUAAUGAAUUAACAUAAAAAAUAAACUUAUUUGGAUCAAACGAGAUAAAAUCUUUAGUGACUUAAUGCAAAUUUUGAAACUAUGCUUAUGAUUUUUCAGUAUCAACUGCUUCGUCAUUGCAAAUGUUGCAUAAGAUGGUUGUUAAGACAUUAAGAUCGUAAGGCUUACUUACAAAGUGACCUUGCCUGAACAUAUGGAAAAACUACAUUAUCUUCUCAUAAUAAAAAAGAAAAGUGCUACACUAAUUCUAUAGUGUAAUUAGACAUGGCAAGUUUGGACCAAACUGGAACACACUAAAAAUACCAAGGGAUUCAUAAACAGGAUUUUGGAUGUUCAUGAUCAAUCCUUAUGUAGCUCUGCAUUAUUUCUUGGAUGGAUACAAGGCAUAUUUGCAAGUGACAAAAUUAAUGAAAUUUCUCUAAUUGAAGAUUUAGUUAUUGGCUUCUGGAUCAUUACAGAACCAAUUAUUGUGUUUGAUAUUUUUUUGUAGCAAAUGGGUUGCAAGGGAAACUUGGAAGGCCAACAUAUUUGGAAAAUUGGAUAACCAAGCAACCAAACCCCCUUAGCAGUAGCCAUAUCUCUCUCAGGCAUUUAAUCAAACAGCUCUAUGGCAUCCUCAAAUGCAACAGUUAGUGAAAGGCACAUGGAGAAAGUAAAAAACCAAGAAUUUCAUAGAGACCCAACCCAGAAAUUAAACCAAAACAAGAAUUUCUACAAUAAAAAUUCGCACAUGGAGAUUAAAAAAAAAUAAAAGUUCUUAGAAGAUUUAAAUGGCAAGACGUAAGAAGAAGAAAAAAAAAAAAAAAAAAAGACAUACCCAGAUUGAACAGUGCGGCAGAACCACCAAGGCGCUGCCGGGACAAGGGCGGCGAGACGGCGAAGAAAAGCUUGGCAGUGGCUAUGAACGGCGUGCAGUCUCUCUCUCUCUCUCUCGGACCUGGACUGGUUCUCUUCUCUUCCGUUGGGUUUUGGAUGUUUGGGUUUUUUUUAGUUUGCAUUUAAAAGCCACGUGAGUGGCAUGUGUUUAUUCCGUUAGUAUUUUAACGUGUGACUAACUGAAGUAUUAAUUUGGCAGUUGUGAAUAGUUUAAGGAGUAAAUUGGUCAAUAAAAAAGUUAAGGGGGUCUUUUGACCAAUAGUUAAAAGUUUAAGGGGUGUAUGGGCAUUUUUCCUAACAUUUAAUGUGGUUUCGCCAACCAUGCAUACAUUAAAUAAAAUAAAUAGAUGCAACUAUUAAGUCUAGAAACAUCUCUUGUUUCUCUACCUUCACAUUUUUUUAUAUAUACACCCUGAACUACAAGUAUCUACUCUUACGGAUGUCUCCCAUUUUUCUUCACAUCUUUACCUACUCAUAUAAUCUUUACAAACUCAACUUAGUCUCAUAAUUUUUUCUGCCGUGAUAUAAAUUUGUCAACAUACUCCCAACAACUUUCCUUAAUAUUUUAUGCCAAAUAAAAAUAUGAGAGAGAUUUGAUCAUGUUCUUCCUCUAGCAUCACGAGCAGAACACUGCACUCAAUUCUUCAACUUGCACAUGAACAAACAGUCCCCACAACAAAUUGGAUAUGAAUAUAAAAUAUUAGGUCUCAGACCAAGGUUUCUCAAAUAGAUGUGAGCGGGUCCAAACUCAGGACCACCCUUCUACUCAAGCUGAUCACAGCAGGGAAGAUGAAUAUCCAAUUUUAUUUUCCCCCUUUUAUAAUAAGAAAAUGGAGCACAAGAGGAAUUAGUUUCUUUGCAUGCGUUGACUUCUUCUAUAAUGACAGACCAACAACAGGGGCAGCAACUUCUAUUUGCUUGGAAAAUGUGGGGAAGACCAAGAAAAACACCUUUUCUACUUAAUCUACUAAUCUAGCAUUGUGUUGAAAUCAAAAGUUGUGAUGACAUGUAAGGUUAAUAUAAUCACAGUUGCUUGUGAUCCUAGGUUUGAUAUUUCAAACGCCCAACCAAGAUGUUUCAAUGUAUGAUUCGUUUUAAAGAAUUGGUGUUUUGAUAAUUUCAUCAAUCAUUUUCACUAAGUUCUUAAAAUCCAUAGGUCAAACAAGUAAUUGGUUUUGAUAGGUUUGUUUUCUCCCCUCCUAUCCUGCUGCAAUAUGACCAACAAGAAAUGGUUUUAUAGAGCAUGUUAUCAUCCAGAAACAGCUGAAGCAAUAAGUGUAAGAAAAAAGAAACCAAGAAUUUGGACACAUGGAUGAACAUUCAAUACCAUCCUUUUUUCUCUGCCAUCAGAUUCUUGAUUAUUAAGAAUUAAAGAACAUGAUAAUGAAUAAUCAUAUCCGAAAUUUAAGGUAAGUAAUAAUAUAUUUGUACAGGCAACAUGAAAUAACUAAUCUAAUCCAUAGAAUCCAAACUUGGAGCAUACCAUCCCAACAGGUCAAUAAUCUUCUUCAUCCUUUCUUCUUGUCCUUUUGAAUCUCCUAGAGCUGUGGUGAAGGGGUACACAUAUGUUACUUUUGUGGCCAUGGUUCUAUAAGCAACCACAUCUCCUUUCACCAAAAACUCCAUUAUGUCUCUGCCAAAACCUCCAUCAACCUCAGCUCUCAGAUAUUGGCCUGGAAAAGAAAAAAUCACCAACAAAUACCCCUUAUCAAUAGCAAAAUUUCAGUAAGAUUGCAUAUGCUCAAGCUCUGUUUGGUAUCUGAGAAAGGUAAGAAAAAGGAAAAGACUGGUCAAAAGAAAAAGGGUAUGAUGCUAUUUAGUUUCAAAGAAAACAAAAAGCCGGACUCUGGCAGUCAGAACAUCCUACAAACACAUAAUUGAAUUGGUUUUCAUUUCAUCUUUUUUCAGUCCAAUUACCAUCUGGAGUGUCUUCAACCACCUGAAUCUUUGCAUUUCUCUGUGUUUUUAGGAUUGUUUCUUGCAAUUUCUGCAAAACAGGUCAGAAAAAAAAAAUCCAUCUUUCAAUUCACCCAAAACCAAAAAUUCAACUCAAUAUACAGAAUGGCACAAGCAUAUGUGUCCAAAACCUGAACGGCAUUGUCUGAAUACUUCUCAGGAAUCGUCAAUGGGAAUGCAAAUGAUGAAGAUUUCGGGUUUGUUGAAACACAACCCGGAUUAAUUGAUGGACAGGGCCUGAUUUUCCUGCAAAAAUGCUACACUUUACCGAACCAUUUACAAUUAAGCCAUAAAAAAUUCAGCAAACAAUUAUACCAUUAUCAGCAAAAAAAAUGCAAACCCAUCAAACAAAAAUAGAGUUAGGUCAUACCCAUUUUCUAACCCAACCUGCAAGUUCUUAGAUUGUGAAAAUGGAGUGGUGGGUGGGAGCAGAGAGGACUGAGAAUUGAUGGAAGGGAGUGCAAGAGAAAGUGGUGAGGAAGCUAGGCUGACAGUGAGGGCAAAGGAGAGCAGAUUGGGUAGAAGAAAAGGUCUUGUGUUGGAAUUCCGUGAAGUUUCUGUUGGGAUUCGAAGGUGAAACGAAGCUUUGAUUGUUGAGUGUGUGGAGAGUGGGGGGGAUGGAGAGAGGAGACUACACAAACACAUGCUUGCUAUCCUUUCCUCCCUGCAAAAUUUUCAUUUUUGGUAUUUUUGUUUUCCCUGGAAAAUGCGCAGUAAUUAAUAAUAAUAAUUCAUUUAGUUUUUUUGGCGGACAAAAAAAAAUAAAAAAUAAAAAUAGUAUCCUAUUCUUCAAAAUAAAAACAUUGAAAAUAUUUUUUUUUCACUUAAAAAAUAAUUAUGCAAUUAAAAAUAAGAUAUUAUAUAUAAAUUUUAUUUUUAAAAUAUAUCUAAAAAUAUAAAAAUAAGUUAAUAACAUUCGAAGUUUUUAAAUAGAUUUUUUUCUUAUAAAACAUCAUAAAAUAAUUUUUAAAAAAUUAUUCUUAAAAAUUCUGUUUUUAGAAUUAUCAUUCAAAAUACUUCAUAAAAAGAAUCCUAGGUAUCAAAUGAUCCAACAAUCAAAUAUGUAAUUCAAAAGAAUUCUCACGACUUUAAAACACUCUUUACAUAAUUAAACACAUCGGUUCUAAUACAAUUUGUUAAAACUUGUACCCAAUCAUAUAGAUAUUAUCCGCUUUGAAGUCAAAUAAAUCUCAGCAUCUAUAAAGUUAAAAGGAGUUCAUACUUAUAUAAUGUUAGAAACUUUAUUCUCUAUCCAAUGUGGGAUAUCACAACACCCUUAUAUAAAUACAAUUUCUUCGUUAUGUUUCAAUGAAUUAUGAGACCAAACAAAUAAACAUUUCUUAUGGGACUAAAUAAACCUCCACACAGGGGUUGAGAAUUAACUUUGAUACAAUUUAUAACGACUCGUAUCCAAUCGUAUAAAUAUUACCUGUUAAGGAUCCUUUUGAGUUCAAAGUAAACAAUAUUUAUACAGUUAGGUUUGGAUCUCGUUAUAAUGAUGAAUUUUAAUUUCUCCUUCAAAAACUAAAAAUAAGUCAUAUAAAUUAUAUAAAAUUAUAAAUAUGUACCAUUAAAGUCAAUAUAACUAAUUUUUUUUCAAAUUUAGAGAGGAAUAUUUUCUCUUAUAGGUCUUUGUAAUCGUGUGCCAGAGUAUGCUUUAAGAUAGAAAUAUUUUAAUAAAAUUAUAAAUAUUUAUUCAAAUUGCAAAAUAUUUAUUAAAAAUAUAGAUAUUUGGAAAUUUAAAAAAUAUAUAUCAUAUACAAAUAUCACCUAAAGAAUGCUUAUUUGCACCUCAAUUUAAAGAAUAAAUGCGACAAUAUUUAAAAAUAAUAAUAAUUAAAAAUAAAUUUAUUUUCUUCAUAAUAAAAUCAUAUAGGUUAUAAUAUAAAUUAUAUUUACUCAAAAAAUGUCUGAAAACAUAUUAUUAUUUUUUCGAGCAUAAUAAUGUAUUUUAAAAAAUGAUACAAUAAUUAAUAUUCAUUUAUUUAUUUUUUGCUUUCAUUUUUAUAUUAUCCAAAUAUUUGUUAGUAAUAUUUUUUCGUAAUUUGGAAAUCUAAUUUCUUGGAGAAAAAAAACAUUAUUCCAGACUCUUUACUAAUUCCUGAUUUCCUUCUUAAAUAUGCUAAUAAAAUUACGCGCUCGAGUUCAGUUGGGCUUUGAAGGAUUCAAAACGCUGCGUUUCAUCGCCAGAGUGGUUCCUCGGCAAUUUUCUCACGAGCCAAACAGAGCUUCCAUGGAAGAUAAAGUUAUGAAAGCAACGCAGGAGCUAGCAUUGGAAGGGCAGAAGCAUCUUGAAGAAACCAUAGAAUCAGCGUUCCAGAUCCUGUCCUCCAUGAACGACGAGCUCUGCAACCCUACUCUUUGGUCAACUCCUCCGCCUCCGGCCACCGCCGCCAGUUCCCACUCCUCCGCAUCCCUAAAUGGGGACGCUUCGUCUGAUUUCUCGCACCACAUGGAGAUUGCCGGUGGUGGAGCUCUCGACGACGCUCGCCUUCGCUACAAAUCCUCCGUGGCUUCGCUGCGUGCUGUUCUCAACGCAAUCCAAAGUUCUCAAAAGGUGGAUUCGGAACCCUAGAUUUAUGCAAAUUUGGGCCUUCAUGUUCCCACUUUGCAAAUUCAAGGUUUAUUUUUAAUUUUCUUGGAAUUUAGCGAAAUUCAACGUGAAACUUUGGGUUUUGGUAUGGUAGUUCGAAAAUUCUCGACGAGUGACAGCUUCAAGCAAUCACAUUUCAAAUUCCAUGCUGCAUUGAAUUUUCAUGUCCAUUUUUCUGGAAAUUUAAAAUUUUCCUUCUAAUGGAACUCUAAUUUUUUAUUUGAUUGUAAUGCAUGAUCAUUAGGUCAUUUUAAUAACCAUAAUCUAACGAGUAAUGUAGAAUUGGUAUGAGAAAAUGGAACACAACUUGUCACGUUUGGAUUGUUCAUGAGAUUUCAAUCCCAAUCAUAUAUGCUCCUCUCUUAUUUCUUCAUACAACAAACACUUUAAUUUAGGUUACUGAAAAAAAAAAAAAAUAACAACAACAACAACAACCACCACCACCACCAUAGAAGCUACUCUUUGAAGUGGUCCGAUAAGUUUUAUUUCAGAAAUGUGUUAUAGUAUCUUCACUGGUAUUGCUAAAAGCAUAAUAGCAAAGACUUGGCUUUUAGUAAAUGAAGUUAUUAGAAAUGGGGAAGAAUCUUGCAAGGCUAAGGACAACAAAUCUUUAAAAGGAAUAAUAAUAAUAAAAAAUCGAAAACCAGGUGUAGAACAUCAGUUCAAUUCCCUGUACUUAUAUAGUAUUACAUGCUUGAUGAGCAAGAUAGCCUACUUCAUUAAUUUCUUGAGGGAUCUUACAAUGUGGUACUCACCAAACUAACUCAACGAAGUCUUGGUGAUGCUAUUUAGAGAAUAAACAUGGAGGUUUAUAUAAAAAAUUGAGUUGGGGAAAGCUCUUGAAUUCAAACUUUAUAGUACUGGUAAGGUAUAUAUAAAAAAUGUUUGUGUGUGCGUACAUCUGGAAAAGUUUGGAUUCCUGUUUCCGAAACUGUGAGUGUUUUGUUGUUACCAUAUGACAUAUUUGGCUUCCUCUAAUAUUUUUGUGUCUGCAAAGAGAAUUUGGAAAAUUGGGUGAUAUUUUGGCAAAUGUUGUUAAAAUUUAAGACCAUGUUUUUAGAUGACAUCUUUUGAUUAAGUUAACAUAGUGAUUAUGUGUCUUAAAAUAGGCAAAAGCAUUUGAAGCAAGUUCGGCAGCAAGUGGUUCAGCGUCUCAAGCGGAUCAAGCUGAAAUUGAGAAGUUAGAGGAGCGUGCCUCUAAUUUAAGAAAGGUAUUCAUAAUAUGCAGUAAAUUCAUAUCAGUGAAUCUCCUAGUCUUUAGGUUUAGGUUUUCUUCCUUGUCUUGGAUUGGUUGUUGAGGGAUACUCUCAUUGAGGGUUAAGGUUGGAUUAAAAAAGGUGCAUGUUUCAAACUAAUCCAAUCUGGUUUACUAGGGGGAAAAGGGCGGACUCUAUGUUUUCCUAGUAGAGGGUCCGAGUUUGCAUGGGAAGCUUUGCGUCUUGUUUUAACAUGCCUUAAUUAAUCUUAAUUCUAAAGAACCCUGUUUCUUCUUUUAUCUUACAUAUGCUGCUUAAGCUUCUUCUGAUUGGUGAUUCUUAAAAUGUAGGAGCUUGCAGACAAGAACAAGUAUCUCAAGCUUCUCAUAGAUCAGCUUCGAGAUCUCAUUACAGACAUAUCGACAUGGCAAAGUCCGUGUUCUGUGUGAAGUUCAGAACACAUGUGCUUGUCUCACUGAGUAGCUCCUGAGAUUAGACCCUUGAGUCCAAGAAUACUCCUGAGGUUAUUGUUCUUUUGUCAUUAGUGUUGGCAAUGAAAAAGGAAAAGCAAAAAAAUCAUUCAUUGGAGAUGUUUCUUCAAUCUGAUUCAGGAAUGUGAUUUUUCCCAAACAGAAAAUUUGAUGUUUAUGGUGAAAUGCUAUAUAAAAAUAGAGCUUUGUGGCUCUUUAAAUUUCCUAGUUUGUUAAAUGCUGUAGACAAGGUAGUUGACAAAUUGCAGAAUGAAAAGUUUAAUUCAUUGUCUUAUGGUCUUUAGUUCUACUAGUUCAUUCCUUUGCUUUAUUGAUAGAUGAGAGAAAUGACUCAAAAAAAUAAAUAAAUAAAUAAAUAAAAUAAAACAAAAUAAAAUAAAAGAAACCUCAAUCUAUGUAAUGAGGUCCAAAUCUCAGGAAUUUGAUCCCCACGGCUAGCUUGAGCAGGUUCUCGAGCUGUUCCUCAGGAACAUGUUAGCUAAAACAUGAGCAUUAGCAUGUUUACUUGAUCAGCAAGUUGGGAAUCUUUCUGGUUUUCCCAGUCCAAGUUUGAUGACCUAAUGACACCGUAUAGAGUAGAUUUUGUGCAACAAGUUACUGCUUUUUAGCCAAUUGUCCUGAGCUCAUUUAGGCAUUACUCUUGCUCGGUUAAGACCUACUUGAAUUCUUGAUGGUAUAUCUUGCUUCUGCAUUGCCAUUCCAUAUCACGUCACAGUAACAAUGGUUGUCUUUAAUGAUUUCAUUAUAUUGUGAAUAAUUUUCUGUUUUCGAAUUAUAUGCAGUAAAAUCUUGUCACCUAUGCUUCUUUUGUUUGGAGGAAAGAAUGAAACCUUGGACAAGGAAGUAUCUAUAUUGUCGGAUAUCUAAGAAUCUGCAGAAUGUGAGAUAAACAGGACUAUAGACAGCCAGCCCAUUCGCCAAUAAGGGACUCUCCUGACCCGAAAUGAUAAUUAUUGAAAUAAUUCCUGGCAGGAACUCCUUUUCACUGUUAGGGACGAUUACAGAAUUUAUUCUUCACAAAGUAUGUGAAACCCAUGUGGAUUCUUGCUCCUUUUUCUGCUUUCUGAAAGAUGUCCUCCGAAUACUAACUUUAACAGCUUUCCAGAAUUUGUGAGACUCUACAGGGUUGGAAAAUGUUCUCUCUCCCUGUUGUCUUGCUUUAUUUAUUUAUUUAAUUGUACCCUUGGAACACAGAUUUUGGCUGCAUGUUUCCUAUCAGAGCAAGUUUACAUCAUUUGUUUUGGAUUUUAUCGAACAAGGAUUGUGAAUAUUUGUCUCACUAGCUGCUGACUUCCUGUCUUUUGAUCUCAUGAAAUCCCAUAUAUGGUUGGAUGCCUAGUUGAAAUUAUGCCUUGCAGAUUUGAAUAUUUUGAUUGUAGAAUUCAAAGGAGACAACCCGUGUACUUAGUUCAAAGCAUUCAGGAUUUUUCAUGUGAUUAUGCAUACUACCUACCACCUGCUUUGUUGAAAAAUGGCAUUUGGGAGAUCGAAAGGUUGAUUAAGUCGAUAAUUAAAUUCUCGGGUUAAUCCUUUUCGGGCAUAUGAGAAUGGGACAUAAAUACUUCAAUGCAUUUUACACUAAAGCUUGUUUUAUUACAACUGUGUUGGAUUCAAUAAGAACGAGUCUAUACAACGGCAUACUAAUAGUGGACUGAAGGUUGAGUUGUGAGGGAGGACCUCAUGUCUACAAUGGCAGACUCGUCCGCCCCCAUUAUGAAGGCUUGUCUGCUCGCUGUUUUGAACCUUGCAACGGCUCCUAUCACAUAAUCACGGCCUUCCUUCACCGUCAUGUUCUUGAACAGCUCAUCUGGGAAGCUGGUCAAGUGGUGAUCGCCCUUAAGAACGGCUGCUAAUUGGACUAUUUCAUUUUGAAACUCAGACAGUUGCCGGUCUUCAUCUGCUUCUGUUUUCCUCAGAGGAGUCACUUCUGGGAGGGUCUCUGCAACAAAAUCAUACACAAUUGCUUAGAACUAGAACUACAUUUCUCUGAUGAAUUCAUUCAAGAGUACUUGAAGGAAGGACAGGAAGGGUGGUUGCCUGGGCAGUCAGUUCGGGGAGAAGUUAACUCCCCAACGACAGACUCAAAUGUGCCGGCCCAAGCAUCUCUGUGAGUCAAGAAGUUCGAUGGCAGGUUGUACAUUUUCUUGAUGGUGGCAGGGAUGGAAGAGUGCUCGAAUUCAGAGUUCUCAGCAGGCCCAUUUGGGCGAGUCACAACUACAGAAACAGCCCAGAAACACAAAAAUGCAGAUCAACACAAUAGAAUGGUCGAUAAAAUCAUCAAAAUGCUUGCAGAUGCAGACUCAAAUGGACUUACUAGUUCCUUUCUUGAUCCAAGGAGAGACCAUGAUUGUAGGAACCCGAACCCCGAGGCGAUCGAACUUGAAGAAAUCAGGAGCAGGGCCAGUGUUGCCAUCAGGACUAGGGACAUUGUCUACAGGGGUUUCAACAUGAUCAUAGAAUCCACCAUGCUCAUCAUAAGUAAUGAUAAAAAGGGUCUCAUUCCACUGAGGACUGGCCCUCAAGGUCUCGUACACCUGCUUCACAAGUUUCUGCCCAUUGGCAACAUCAUGAGAGGGGUGAUCAUCGUUUGCAGGCAAUAUCUUGAUAUCAAAGUACCUGGGCUCAAUCACUGUUAGGCUGGGCAGCUUGCCCUUUUCAGCAUCCUUCUUGAAGUGCAAAUCAUAGAGGCGGAACUUGGAGGAAUACUUGAGCUGCCUCAUAUUCCUAUAAAAAAAUAUUGUGGGGGCUUCUUGAAAGUAUAUGCCAAAGUCCUUACCAUUCGCAUGGAGUGAAUCAAAUAUGGUUUUUUGUGGGAAACCUUUUAUCAAGUUCUCCUUCACAUGGCUUACAGCACCAUGGGAAGUUCCAGAGUAGACAAAGAGUCUGUUGGGUUGUGUUGGGCCAGGAAGUGCAGAGAACCAUCUGUCAAAAACUGCAAACUCCUCCACCAGCUUGGCGUAAACUGGGACUGAUUCUGGCUUGAAGCCUUUCAUGACUGUCUCAGAGAGUUCUUUGGACAUGGUGAGGGCUUGUUCGACAAAGCCAAUCAUUGAAGGAGUGGUGCCAGAGCCAAACACCUGCUGUUUCACUGCUACAAAGGAGUGACCUGGAUCUGGAUCCACAUAUUCUGCAUCAUCUUUGAAGCAGAUUGUUUCUUCGGAUGGAUUCUUGGUAGAAACUGGGUUGCAUUCUUUGCCUGUGACUCCAUUGAUUGCUGAGUUGGAUCUCUUCAUCCAUCCAAGCAUGUGAUCGAAGGACCUGUUCUCCAUAACCAAGACCACAAUGGUCUUGAUGCGUUGGUCCUGUGCUGCAACCGCACCCAAAUGGGCAUCUUGGAAAACACUUGAAAGUGUGAGAAACAGAAAGAAAAUGAAGGAAAAGGGAGGCCCUCUGGUACUGAAACCCUUCCCCAUCCUUGAUUCUCAACUGAAUCCUUCUCUUUGCCAAAUGGGUUGAUAGUGUAUAGCUUUAUGUAUCCUCUGUCUCUUAUUAGAUGUCCUCACCCAUAAUUAAGAGCGCAAUCUCCACCAUUUAUGACUGUUGCACUUUAUUGGAAAAACCACAAAGAAAGAGAAGUGCCGGCUUAUGAUGAUCUCACCUUGCAAACUGAUUUGAGAUAUGAAAAGGAAACCCAAUUCCUUCUUCAAUUUAGCAUUCACACUCCCUUUCAAUGCUGCUUUUUAUUUUAUUUUAUUUUAUUUGUGGGGAUUUCCUCUUUUUUUUUAUUUAUUAUUAUUAUUAUUACAUUUUUUCCUUAAAUUCACUUUUCUAUAUAAAACUGAUGUAAUCUUUCAUUGCAACCUCUAUAAACUAUCCACCCACAUUCACAAGAGUCACAAGAAUCCAACCCCCGCUAGGAAGUAUCUCUUUCCAUAUUAACCACAGAGUCAAAACACAAAGAUUUUGAGGAUUUGAUGUCCAAAUGACUAGUGGGUUUUUGUCACAAAAAAUGGAUCUGAUAUUAACAUUGAGGGAGAUAAUACUUGGCACAGUGUUCAAUAAGUAAAAAUUUCUCUCAAGAAAAUCAGUCUUUGCUGGCCUUUCUGAACAUUAAUGGUGUUCCAUCCAUGGCCUCAUUUGGAACCCAAUUAAAUAUUUGAUUAAAAAACAAAUGUAUUAAAUGUUUGACUAUGUUUCAUUUAAGAUAAUGGUGUUUUCUAGAAAACUAUUCUUGGGAAAAUCCAUGAAAAGACAAAACAUAGAAUGCAAAAUCACAUGCCAUAUGAAGGGGUGGUGGUGGUGGAUACAUCCACUGGAUUGGAGCCAGGUCUUCCUCUUGGUGGCUAGUGGCCGUGGCCACCACACAUCACAGCCACAAAUAUAGACAAAAUCACCACCAUUACAUGUAUGCAGCUUUUUGAAAAGAAUGGAAUCAUCUACUAACUUUAGUAGAAAAAAUGCUUCUAAAAAGUGAAAAUGUUUUUAUAUUAAUAUACCUAAUAGUAAAAUGGCAUGCAUGUGAGGCAAGGGAUUUUUCUUUUGAAAAUUGGUAUCAUUUUUCUUUUCUUUUGAAAAAAAAAUACUUAAAUAUUGGGUUUAAAGCCUUAUAAGAGUGGACUUUUUUACCCUUAUUAAAGAGAGAGAGAGAGAGAGAGAGAGAGAGGAGGAUUUGAAGGGGAAACAUAAUAUUUAAGGGUAUUUAGAUAUAGCUUUUAGGUGGGGUUACUAACUUUUAUUUUUGUUUUUAAGGUGGUAUUAAAAUUAGAUUCAUAAUUGAAGAAUUUUAUUUAUAUUUUGAGUGGUGUUUAGUAGUGUUUCUAUUCAAAAUGGUUUUAAUAGAAGUAAUUUUUUAUUAAAUAUAUAUAUAUAUAUUUAGAAGAAUCAUUUGUCAAGCAUUUUUUUUUUUAAAUAUUAUAAAUAAUUUUUUAAAAUUUUAAUAGUAUUUUUAAAAUUUUACCAAACAUCUCAUUUUUCUUUUAAAAACAUUGUCAAGCAAACUCUUACUCAUAAGCUAAUUAUUUAAAAAAAAUAGAAAAAAAAAAUAUAAAACAAUCACAAUAUCUUCUUCAAUCUUCACCUUUUUUAUCAAUCUUUAAAUUCAAAGAUAAAUACAUGAAUAUAAUAGAAGAUAAUAAAAAAAAAUUGGGAAGGUAGGGAGAAUAUAGAAUGUAACAAAUUGGUAGAACGAAAGAGAAAGGAAGGUAAGGAAAUGGAGAAGGAAGAUAGAAUAUCGAAAUAAAUAGAUGAAAAAAUAAAAUAUUUUUAAAAAUAUGGAAAUUAUUUUAUUUCAAAGUAAUUUUUAGAUACAAUGAAAAUAGUUAUUAAAAACUAUCCUUAACCAACCACCUCUAAAUGGAACACAUUGAUAGGCAUGCCACCACCUUUUUUUCUUUUCAAUUCUUUAUCUGCACAACAUCAUCAUCAAGAUUCAAGAUGAGCAAAUAAAAAGGAAAAGAAAGAAAGCAUGGGUGAGGGAAAAGAGGAAGUGGAAGUGGUGGGCAAGAAGUCAAAAAAAAAAAUAAAGAAGAAAGAAAGAAAGAAAGAAAGAAAAAAAGUAAAUAAAUAAAAGAAAGAAGAAUUGACAGUCACUGUGUUAGGUUGGGUUGGGGCAGGUGGGCCGGGGGCCCCACACACCGACAUGGGAUGAGGCCUGGCGAUAUGGGCCGGGAGGCCCAGACACCAGCUGUAAAUGAAUGGAUUUGUGUGUAUCAUUUAGUUGGGGAUCAUUGAAAUGAAAUUAUAUGAUAUUAGAUUUAAUUCACAUUCUAUAGUUGACCCAUUCUUUUCCAUCUCCCCAUUUGGGAUAUGAUAGAGGUGGGGUUGAUGCAAUCAGCUUUACAUCAACCAAUCCCAGAUUUUUUUUUAGUAAUAUUUUAUAAAUAUUUACAAAAAGCAGUGUGAAUAUUAGAAAGGAUAUGUAAUGUGCAACACUCUUACCAUCUAAAUGGACAUAUAGGUCGAAAUCAUCUUUUGAAAAGCUAAAAAUGUCAUUCCUCUCAUCUAAUAAGGAUUAAUCCAUUCCUAAUACUCACUCAUUUCCAUAUACUACAUGUAAUGUCAUCUCCAUUUUCAUUUUAAAACCCUAAAUUUGCAGUACUCAUCAAUAUCGUUGCGACUAUCACAUUGAAAGAUGGUGUUCGAACGAAGGUGAAGGUUUAAAGAAUAGGUAGAAUAUGAGGAAGGAUUGAUUUUCUUGAUUUAGUCAAAUUAAGUUCAAACUUCAAAGUAUGCAUGUAUUAAGUUGUUAAUAAGAUCAUCCAAACCUAGAAAAAUCCAAACAAACUUUUCUUUCACUCAUGCAACAAAAAGUUGCAGUAUCUUUUAAUGGUGAAGAGCCUAAUCUAAGCUAGAUGGCCGAGGAUGACAAUUUUGCUGAGUUGGAAGAGAACAUCAACCUAAAGACUUGAUAUGUAAAAUUUUAUGAAGGAAAUAAGAAUUUCUUGGCAAAGAUUGAAGCAAUUUGCUAUUGUGUGUGAUUGAAAUGAUGCAUUUUCUUUGAUGUUUUGAUUUAGAUUUUAUUUUAUUUUACUUUUUCUUUUCUUACUUUCUUCUCUCUAUUUUGUCUCACAUUUUUUUCUCAAAAUUUUCAAAAAUACUAUUUUGUUCUCUUUUGAGAACAUGUUUUAGAAAACACUUAAUUCAGACAAAACCAAGCAAGUCCUCCUGUCCAUAAUAGCUUUUGGUGGAGCCUUUUGAAUGUGUAUGAAAACCUAAACCCCACGUUUUUCACAAACCAAUGCAAAAACAUAUUUUUAUCUCACUAAAUAUUUUUUAAAUAAUUUUAAUAAAAACAAUUUUAAAGUACAAUUCCCAAGCAUCACACAAUAAUAACCCUUCAAACAUAAAAAAACCAAUCAUACAAGUCACAUCAACCCUAGUGGCUUUGGCUUCUUCCAUAAAAGGCACUAGCUUUUGACAACACCUAAAGAAACUAACCCAAAAGGCUCGAUCAAAAACACACAUUCCUUUUUGUCUCAAAAUCAACGGUAUAUCCAGUGAUGUUAAAGAGCAUUGUAAAUGAAUUGGUAAAUCUAGGAAUUUGGGUGGGUAUUGAGAAGCCCAGGUUUUUAUUAUAGACAACAAAGAACUCCCAGUGGUUCUGCUAUCUGCAAAACCUUCUGUGAAAAGAAUACACCGCAAGAAGCAACAGGCAACAGUCACAUAUUCAAAAACAAUGCAACAGUAGCAGGCCCAGCACCAGAUAAAAAAAAUUAUGACUUUUUUCUCUCUUACUAUCCCCCCUACAGAAAAACAGAUAUCGAGCCCGUGCUUGACCCCAAGAACCCCAAUUCCGAUUUGGCCCACUCAUCUGCUUCUUUUUCGGCAAAAUCAUUGUAUAAAACUUAUAAAAUAUUUAACAAUAAUCAGUUACUGGAUCUCUUCAGGUAGGCUAAUAAGCCCAUCCCAGCUACAAAUGCGGCGCCUGCUGCAACGGCACUGUAUGCAGAAGCCCAUGCUUCUCGCUGAGCAUACUCCAAACCUCCAGUUCCAGAGUCCCUUCUAAGAGGGCGGGUCCCCGAGUAAUCUAAAUGUAGUCUUAAACCCUGUUGAAGGCCAUUAACCAGAUAUCAGUCUUUGUUGAGCUACAGUAAUAGUAUACUUAACCUAAUCUAGAAAUACAAUGUCUGUUACAGCAGGUGGGUUAGCUUAAAACAGAUGUUUCAGGGUACCCUUGUCAUGGGAUAGGCCCGAUAGUGUGAAUUUCUUCUGGGGUAAACCGUCCAAUUUUACUAGAACAGGUAGCAUAAGGAAUUAAGGGUUGGGUGAUAAGUCCACCAUACCUUCCAACCUGCUAACCUAGCAUGCUCCAUGGCUGCCACAAGAUCAUUAUCUGAUGCGAGUACUACUUUGUCAUGGUCUUCAUCUUCAUACUAUAGAAUGUAGCCAUUGAUAGAAUUAAUGUUUGUAGGCAUAAGGAGAAACUAAAAAACCAAACUGACAAAAAAAAGGAUUUUAACACGUACCAGAAUUUGCGGCAGGUUGUUGCGAUCGAUGUCAUCACCCACUCUCUGAAGGAUUGAAGUUAUGACAUCUGUCAAACUCCGGGUAUCUGAGCUCAAAAGCAGGAACCAAAAAUCCCGUAAAAAUCAACAAUAAUAAAAUUUAGAUGCCAGAAGUGAACCUGGCAUUAUUUAGCCUAUCCUGAAUCUAUACCAAAGCCUGACCCAAUGUGAUACCAUAUUUAGUUUCUACACUAAAAACUAAAAUCUAAUAAACAGCUGAGGACUGUGAGUUCAAAACAUGGAUCAUCAUCUAAAGGGUCAGUUUUUGGCAUGAGUCAGCCACAUGUAACGGUGGUGACAUGAUGGUCCAGUCUACAAGCUGCAUAAUGGGCAGCUAGCACUACAGAAGAUCAGAAGAUGACAUAACAUCCACAUAAUUGGUCCCUCAAAAAUAUGAGCAGGAAAAGUAGCAUACCACAGGUAAACCUAUGCAUCCGUCCUCUUUUAUCUUCAAUUUUGAAAGCAAAGGUGUUAUGCAUGGCUGAUGAAGUAUAAGGAAGAGUUCUCCCUAUUUCAGUUCCUUCAGAAGCCAAUUUCAAGGAACCCUCACUGAGAUGUUACCAAUGAAGUGUAAGAAAUAAAAUCAGUAUCAGAUCACAAACAUAUCAGCAUAAUAACAUCAAAGUCAAUAACCUCCGUGUUUCUUCGUCAUCAUCAGUUCCUAAUGCCAUGGCUGAGUCCCAGAACUUCUGCAUCAGACUGCUUGCAGCCUCAUUAUUAACUCCAGCAUUGCCUCCCACCUGGUUAAGACAGAAAAAUGAGUAUUCUCCACAGUAAAAAUAUUACAUAAAUUCUGAAAAAAAAUAAAUAAAUAAAUGGUAGCACAUGUUUCUUGAGAAAGGAAAUUUCACAUCAGAAUCUUCUGAUAAAGAUUCUAGGUAGGUCAUUGGUAUAUAUGCUUGAUUUACUACCCAGUAUGAAUAAUUGAAUUUCAACAAAUAUAUAUAUAUAUAUAUAUAUAUAUAUAUAUACUGACAAAUUUCUUGAAGAUGUCAACCUCAAGUAGUUGGAAUACUGCUUUACUUAGAGUUUGUCAUAGAAUCAUAAGAACAUCCCUUCUUUAUUUUUAGCAGAGGCUAAGUUUUUCAUAUAAACUUAUAGAAUAUGCAACAGUACAAGACUGACAAGUAACAGAAAAGUAAAGGAAAAACCACAGGAAAUGGAAAGAAAUGGGAUAAUCCUAUCCCAAGUUUGGUUGGUGAUGUAAUAGAAUAAGUUAUCUCAUCACUUAUCCUAUUCUAAGUUCAACCAAACAUGGGAUAAGAUAAGUAAUGGGAUAUAUCAUCCACCUUUUUUUUAUAUCCCCUUUUACAUAGGUUAUGUUAAUCCUAAAUUAAGAUAUAGGAUAUAAUAUAAUAUCUCAUGUAUCAUAUAUUUAUUUUUGAUCAAUUUUUUUUUUUUUAUGCUACUUAUUUUGCAAAAUAUAUUAGUUUUAUAUAUUGAAGAACAUAAUAUUAUAAAGUUUAAAUAUUUUAAUCAUGAAUAUUAUUAAAUGUAAAAGAAAUUUCAUAUUUGUUUUAAACAAAAAAUAUUGGAAUGUAAUAUAAAUUUUAUUUUAAACAUUGAAAAAUAAUAUAUAUUUCAUUUUACAAACUAAAUAUAAACAUAACAUGACAUAUCCUAUUAGAUUUGCUACCUUAGGAUAUCAUGUUCAUUGGAUAUAAUUUCCAAGGAUAUCAUAUCCAAUUGGAAAUGAUAUUCUAGGAUAUGUGAAUUCUAUUUAAUGGGAUAUGAUAUCCUAAGAUAUGCAUAUCCUAUCAAUUAAACAUAACCUAAGAGAAGGUGAAUAAGAACUUAUAUGUUAAAACCAAGGAAAAAGGGGAAGCAGUAUACAAGAUUAGUGGAUGUUCCAAAACUAUCCAGGACCGUAUUUCACUGGGAGACAACAAAAGAUGGCCAGCUGAUGAAUUGAUAAAUUGUCUCCAGUCUCAAACUUUCAGGCAGUCCAUAAGCAGGUCAUAUGGUUUUCAAAAGAGCAUUGCUUUGGCUAACAAAUAGUUUUUGAGUGUCCAUGAAAGUAAAAGUUUUGGCCUACUCUUACUCUUAGAAAGUGCAAGGCUCAUCCAAAUAGUUGUGGUUGAUUAUAGAGUGAAACUCAGCAUCAAGUCAUCACUCAAGUUCUGUCUGCUGUUUAAGAUGCCCCCAUCUAAGAAACAGUUCAAAAUAACUUCCAGGGAAGCCUCCUUGAGUUCAAUUGAUCCCAAUUUCUGUAGUUUCUCAAGAACCAUCUAUGUUUUGUUUGCUAUUCUCAAGUUUCUUCUUAAAAAAUCCAGCUUGGAAUCCAUUUGGGAAUUUACUUAUCAGUGUAUAUAUAUAAAUUUCAGAAUUACGUUUUUUCUCCCAGAACUCAAUAAAGACUCUUUCAACUUAAGCUUCCAGUUUCAGACCUGUGUCUUUUUUUUUUCUUUUUCUUUUUUUCUUUUGAUAGGUAAUCAGACCUGUGUCUUUUCUAAUGGUUUGUUAUCUUCUAGACCAUAUUUUCUGGAUAUGGUUUCUUGCUUAUAUAUUUUUACCUAUAAAAAAAAAAAAUCUUCUAGAUAUGGUUUCUACAUCCUUCUGCUCAUCACUUCUUUGCUGAGAUGCUUUAAUUUCCAAGUCAAAGGCUUAGCAGAACAGCAGCUCAAGAAAAGAACUCUAGUAGCAUGCUUCAAAAAACAACCAGAAAUCCAAUCUCCUCAGCAUUCUGUAAUUUCCAAAAUGAUGGAUAAAUAUUACAUCUGCAAUUACACAUCUUCCAGACUGCUGCUUAGUACUGGUCCAACUUACCUGCAUUCUGUCUAUGAAGCAUUGGAAGCAAGAUAGCUCCUUUGCUGCCCGCUGCUGAGAGGAGCAACACUUGCUAAGGCACAAUUUGACCUCUAAACAAUCCCUGAAUCAAAUCUUGAAGAACAGCAGAGAACAGAGUCAUCUGUAGCAAUACACCUCAGGGGCCUUUGGGCCUUUCACGAGUAGAAACACAUCUUGAGAUCUUGCUUCUCCAGUUUCAAUGGCUCAUGAGAUAAAUGGUUGUGCAAUAGCACUUUGCUUUCAAUUGGUUGACAUAGAAAUUGAGGAAUAAAAGCAUCUCAGAUAACUAUUCAAUUAUCCCUUUGAGUGUUAAAUCUGUUCACGAAAAGUUUGUUUAAAUGUAUCUUCUUGGUUCCAAGUGACAGGAUGCCACCAUAACUUGUAAGAUAUUGGGAUGCAUUUCUGGCCACCACUUGGUAUUGUGAUUAUUUGUUUAUUUCAUAAGAGCUAUCUCCCAAGGACUUCUCAAGUUUAAUUUCAACAUAAGUUUUUGGGAACCAAGGUCAAUCCAAUUUGGGUGCAUCAUUCUAGUUCCAUUUUUUCUUUUUUUAAUAGGUAAAAACACAAUAGUAUAUAUAUGAAGGGAAAAGGGUGCCCAAAGGACAACCCAAAACAUACAGGAAGUACACAUCAUGCACCUGACAGUGCAUCACUUUAGUUCUGUUUAGUUCCAUAUAAGAUCAUGGAUUAAGAAUUACGUUCACUUUUCAUAAAGUUCUUGGUGUAUGAGAAACUAAUAAAGUCAAUAAAAGAGCACUUCUAUUUGGAUUGAAGAAGCUUAAAAAAACUAAGUUUUCUCUAAACUUGUUGAGUGUAAUCGCUCCAUCAUCAAUAACAGGUUAGAGAAGUGGCACAAGAAAAGUUUAAACAUAGUUCCUUCAUGCUGUCUAAAAAAUUUAGGCUUACAAUGCCACAGAAAUCAUGCAGGAUUACUUUUGACUGUAACUGAUUAGCCAUAUUAAAAAUAGUGAAAGAAAAGUACGGACUUGACUUACUGUAGCCACAGCUGCAUGAGUGAUAUGGAUUACAUCAGCAACAGCAACUACACCACCAUCUGCAUCCAGCCAUCCAAACAUAAAUAAACCAAGAUGAGAAAUCAAAAAAUAUAGGUAUAAGUUUAGCUCUUAAUAUAAAGCAUGUUACCUCUAUCAAUGACAGGAAGGUGUAAAAAUUUCCCAUCAUGCAUGGUAUGUAGGGCAUCAACAAUGGGUGUAUCAAUUGUUGCACAUUCUGGAUUUGGAGUCAUGACCUGAACAUGAAAUAAAAAAAGUUAUAUUCAGAGUUAAAUGUCAUUAUCCUUUUUGUUCAUAAGAGAGUUUAUCAUGAAGAAUUCACAGACAAUAGGCGACACAUUUAUAAUCAUUUCUAGCAAAGUUUAAGGACACAACGAAUUGGAUUUUAUUUUGACAGAAAGGCUGGAGACAAAUACCUUCUCCACUGGAGUGGAUUCUGGAUGAAGAUUUUGUGCUAUGACCCGCAUCAGGAUAUCCUUUGAACUGACAAAAGUGUUAAAUGGAGAGGAUUCAUAAUCUAAGUGAAAUAUAAGCUAUAGAACUUUAACACAAAUCUUCAUUUCAAAGUAAAAGGAGAACUAUCUCCAUUUGAAAGUAAAAGGAGAACUGCAAUGUGCAAUUUUAUCGAAGAGAGACUCACGUUAGAAUCCCCUUUGGUCUGUUUUCAACUGCUACGACUGCACAACUUAAUUUAAGUUCAAGCAUCUUCUUUGCUGCUGUUAGAACUGUGUCAGUUGGUGAGACUGUUACAACCCUGAAAGAUUCCAUGAUAUGUUAAAUGAAAGUAAUUGUAUUAUAGUUUGAUAGUGAAAGCUAUACAAAGGGCCAUUUGAAAAACCAAAUGAAUAAAUAUAAAUAAAGAUAUUCUGUAGCAUAGUUUCAUAGUAAAAGCUAUAAAUGGCCAUAUGAAAAACCAAAUGAAUAAAUAUAAAUAAAGAUAUUACCUACUUUGAAUUCUCGGGGAUGAUCGUGGACAAAGCAGGCCUAAACAUCCUCUCUCGAAGUGUCUCAAUGAAUGUGCUAGGACCUGUACAAAACCAACAAUUGCAGUAGGAAGUGAAACUCCUAUCUCUCCAAAAAAAGGCCAGCUAAAAUUUUCAGUUUUGUGGUCAGGAGCCAAUACAUAACUCAAGGAUAUCCAAGAAAAGAUCUUUGAAUGUCAAAUAAAUUAACAUUAUUUAACAAUUUAAAAUAAGAAUGAAUUCUUAUAGAAUGCAAAACGAAAAAGAAAAUGAUGACAGAUUGAAUAGAGUUUUUUAAAGUAUCGUUCUCCACCAACCAGAGAGAGAUGUCCCCCAAUUUUUUUCAACUCCUUCAACAGCAGCAGCAAUGGCUUUUCCCUUUUCAGCUGCCCUCUCCAUUCGAGCAAUAGCAUCAUAUAAACACUUUGCUAUGUCUAGUAAAGCAAUGACCUCCCCAUUCUCUACAACAGGCAAAUGUCUGAACUUUCCUGCAAAAAAUCAGCACAGUGUUCAGUUGGCAAGUUGUAGAAUAGCAUGUUGGAUGGAAAAAGUAAACAUGGUUUUCAGGUUAUCAGCAACCUUGCACCAUCUUUUGCAGGGCUUCCACAGCAAGAGUAUCAGAAAGAACAAAAAUUGGGUUCCUUGUCAUAACUUUGGAGACUGGUGUUUCCUCAAGAUUAAGUUCACGAGCAAUGACUCUUGUUGCUAUGUCCUUCAGCCACAAAAGGGAAUGGUUUUGUGAAACAAGUAAAGCCAUAAAAAUCCAGGUAAAUGUAGCAUGCAAGUUUUUUUGGCUUGGCAGUAUAUCUCACUAGUAAUUCAAGUCAAACCUUGUCUGUAAGGAUUCCACAAAGUAACGCAUUUGAAUCAGUUAACAAUAAGGCAUCAACUCUACGAGCAGCCAUACGGCGGCAAGCUUCAUAAAUACUUGUGGUGUCAGGAACUGUCAGGGCCCUUGACAGUCGCAAUCUCUUCACUGUACGCUCUCCAGUCAGUCCCCUAUUUCAAAUACAAGUGAUAUUGGAAAAUUUUGUUACUAAGAUUUAAAUAUAUGAACAUUUUAUCUUAAUUUUAACCCUUUUUUUUUUCUUUUCUCUUUUUGGUUUAUGGUGGAGACUGUAACACACAUUAACAUCUUGUGUUUGUGUCUUUAAUUACGGUUUUUCAAAUCAAGUUGCUACUAUCCAAAGUCCAAAGCAAAUAAAAAGGUUGAGGUUUUCAAAUAAAUAAAAAACAAGAAAAACAAAUCUAUGGAUAAGACAGUCCAUACAAAAUCGAAAAAGGUAAAGAGAACGCAUAAGCACAAAGAUAUAGAUAAAUAAAUUUAAAAAAAAAAAAAAAACAGUCAAUGGCACAUACUAUUUGUGAAUUCCGACUUAGAAAAUGGGCAGAACAUCCUGGGCAUGGAGGAAGAUGUAGUGCCACGCUAAUAUAACUUCCUAAUUCAGAUAAAUUGUACUCACUAUUAUGCUAAGAUAACCUCCAUGCACAUAACUAACCAUCUAUAAGGGAGAAGCCAACAGCAGUUGCGAAUCUCAGUUCUCAAGUACACUCCAUGUCCCAAUUAUGGCAGGACUCAGUGUCCUUCCUAGUAAGAAAGGGUCUACAUGGUAUGUUUUCCAAUGAAAGGACGCUAUGAAUGCCAAUCCUAAGUACUCUAACAGUCAUGUGAAUUCAUACAUAGAUAAACUUAUAAGAUAAAAUAUUCUUAAGUGCCUCAAAGCCAUCAACUUUGGCUUCACCAAUCCAUCUGGAUUCAACAAUAGGCAAACUUCAUGAGAAUGAUUCCUUUCCCAUCAGCCCCAAAAGUGUGAUAUGAUGACCCACCUGAAAAUCCAAUCAGCCCUAUCUGUAAAUCUUUUCCUCCCCCUUUAAACUAAUACUCCAUUUGAUUGCUUGAAAUCAAAGAAUGUGUGACAUAAAGACCUAAAAACAGGUUGUGGUUGCAGAAACUAUUCCAAAAAUCCUUUUUUUUUUCCUCCCAUUCCUUCUGGACAACCAAACAGAGCAUUUUUUAACUUAUGUUAAAAACAAAAAAAAAUAAAAAAUAGAAAAUAGAAAAAAAAAAAAAACACUGAAUUUAUUUUCCCUAUAACAGAAUGAUGGAUAAUUCUGUACAAUCUCCAACAAGAUGCGAGAAUUGAACCAGUAACAAGCUCACAAACCUCUGGCCUUAACUGAAAACAAGAACAAUCAAACACCAAAUAUCGAAAAUUGUCUAAGCCAACCACCAUAUGCACGAACGGGAUAGCUACAAGAUUUUCUCAACAUCACAAUAAAAUUUAUACGAUUCAGUCAAUAAAAGUCCACGGCAUAGAAUAUCAAUCAAAACCUAACUUACAUGGAACGAGCAGAGGCAAGAGAUUUUCGAGCGCUAUCGGGGCCAGCUCCAUUCUCAGAAGCUUUUUUCUUUCCCUGCGAUGGCAUGGACAAAGUCAAACUUUUCCUGGAUGAACCGCCGUGACUAGCCAUUUCCGCCGAUGAACAAGACCAAUCCUUCAAAUCUCUGAAAACAAAACAAAAUCAUUCUCAGACAACGAAAAAGAAUUCCAAAAUUUCUACCACAGCUCCCGUCUGUUUUCUACAAUAACUCUGGAAAACAAUAGGUAAACAACUCAGGCCCCAUAUGUUCCAUUUCUGUUUAUCACGAAAUCAAAAGGUCAACUGAGCUAAGCUAAUUUUGCCGUUUUUCAGGCAACCAAAGCCAAAACGAACAACAAUUCAAAUUUUCAUUCCCUAGGUUUUCUCAGCAACCAAACAACCCAAAAAGAAACGCACCGACAAGGAAUUUGAAAGGCGAGGAGAUUCUCCGCGCCUGGGGAUUGAUGACUUGAAGGCGGGAAGGAUUACGGGGGUGUUUAGAAGAUAGGAAAAUGGAACGAUCGCGGUCGGGCUUUGGUCGGAAAAUCUCAAGAGCUUUUCCGGGAAACGCACCGACCGGCGAAACGUUGAGGGGAAAGCAGAGAUGAGAAACCCUAAGAAAUGGGAGAUUGAAAUUGAAUUCGAUGAGGUGAAGACCAAUAGAAUCCCAACACGUCACCUCUUCUAACAGAAAAUUCCUCCAAUUCACAGAGGUUAUCGUGAGGCCUCCAUAAUUUCUAUCUUCAUUUACGUUUCUACCCUUACAAAAACAAGAAAAUUACCCCCUGGCCUCUGCUUCUCGUGCUUCUAAAUGAUGUACCUUUUGAGAGGGUUUGUCUCAAGUGUACAAGUUUGGAUGCAAGAAGAAGUCUUCUACAUGGGGAGAAGGAGGUUAUCCACUGGUAGAGUUGAACAAGUGGAAGAACCUUUGCCGUCCAUGUAGGUGUCAAGUGGGCAGAAUUUUUUCUUUAAAAAAAAAUUAUUUUAAGAACAAUUUUUAAAACAAACCUUAGCAUUUUAGUUAAAUAACACUUUCUAUAUAUAUAUAUAUAUAUAUAUAAUCGACAUUAAUAGUAUUUUUGAGUAUCAAAUAAGAUGUCUUGGUUAAUAAUAAAAAAUAGUUAUUAAAAGUAUAAAAAAUGUGAUAAAAAUUUAAAACACUGAUGAUUUGAAAUUUAUAAUGAGAAAGAAAUUUCAUAUGAUAUAAUGGAACUAUGUUAAAGGUGUAAUAUUUGAAUUAAUCAUUAAAUUAAUUUUUUAUUACCUAUUUUAUGAAUAGUGAAUAUAAGGUGGAAAACCCAUCUAAGCAUAAAAAAAAACUCCAAGUAAUUUAUUGAGUGCUAAAUAAUCCAUUAAAUAUAAUAAAAAUGUAUAUCGUUUAUUCUUAAUCAAAAGCACUCCUAAGAUAUCACUGUGAUUUUUUUAUUACUAAAUAAUCCAUUAGAUAUGAUAAAAAUGUACACGGUUUUACCAAAUCGGAUACACACCUAAGGUCUUGGUCUUAUACAUGUUUCCAAUGUAGCACACCCCCGUGCUCCUUGAUGAAUCCCUCAAAAUUAUUAUCAGAGUUUUAUGAUAGGAUCUCUAAUUUUUGUUGUAAUCAAAAGUUACUGUUGGCAGAUCGGAGGGUUGGUCGCGUCUAUCAACUCUCCUUGUGUUCGCCGUGGGCGCUUGGGUGAAUGCACUAUAAAGUUAGGGUAUGCGUCUUUCCUAACAGCAAUUGCUUUUAUGAGAGUUGGUAGCGUCUGAGGUCCUAAAAGUGGUAUCAGAGUCAAGGUCACAGGUUCGAACCUCUAGGAUGUUGCUGGGGGGAUUAUUGGUAGAUUGGAGGGUUGGUCGCGUCCAUCAACUUCCUUGUGUUCACCGUGGGCGCUUAAAAAGCAAGCCUGAGUUUACCAACUAUGAAUAUGAACAAAAUUGUCAACUAAAUAAAGUACCUUAACAAUAGUCAUUAUUUUAUUUAAUUCAAAAGGUUUAAACAAAAUUAAAGUAAUGAAUGGUUUAUAAUUAAGUAGUGUUUGUUUUUUUACUUAGUUCUAAAUAAAACUUUAAUAUUUAAUAAUAUUAAAUAUUAGGUUGUUUAUUUUUUUAAUAAUUUAUUUAUAUUAAACAUUAAAAGGUAAAAAAAAAUCAAUAUUUAUUUUUUCCAUUUAAAAAAAGUUAAAUAUUUUGAUUUUUUUUUAUUUAACAAAAAAAUUAUAGUAAGUUAUGAAAAAAUGGAAAAAUAAAUUACUUAAAGUCUAAAAACAAAUUAUUUUCAAUAAAAAGUUAAAAAAACAAAUACCACCGUCUAAAUCCAUGUGGCUGAAUACGAAAACUUUUGUCCCCAAUAACCUUUCUUGGCAGCCAAACAAAAUUAGAAGGGAAUUUGAAUUUUUCAUUAUUGGGUCAAAGGGUGUGAGCUAUGAUCUGAGAUUUGUAAAGAAUAGACUAAUGGGCCAUGCAUACCACAUGGGAAUGCAUUCAAGAAUACAUGUGUGAGCUAUGAUGUGGGAUUGUAAAGAAUAGACUAAUGGAUCAAGCAUACCUCAUGGGAAUGCAUUAAAGAAUAGAGAUGUAGAUAAUUUAUAAUAAUAAAAGUCUUAUUAUAAAGGAAUCACUUUAGAAAUAAUUUAAUAAACCAUCAAUUUAAAAUGAAUUAGGGUUUAUUAAAAUUAUAUUUGGAAUACAAUAUUUGAAAUAUUUUUAAAAAAAAUUGGUCAAUUUUUUAUUUUUAUUUUUAGUUCUUUUCUUUAACGGAUUCCAUGGAAACAUUAUGAGUAAAGCAUGAUGCUCAUAGCUGGACUUAUGGAUUCAUUGCUUCAAUAAGGAGAAAUGUUUAAAUUCUUUUUUUUUUUUUAAUAUAAAGUUUGAUUAAAAAAAAUUUUAAUUUAAACAAGGUAAUAGCUUGUACAUAUUCUGUUGUAAUUUGAGUUAAUAAUAUGUAAUUUCAUAAAAAUGAUUUAUUUAUUUUAAAUAUAAUUUUGGGAAAGUUGUGCUUUGGAUCUAAUUGGGCAAAAAAAUUGGCCUUAAGUCCAUAAAACUUGUCUGUUUAGCAGAAGUAUAAAAAUUGAGAAGAAUGAUAUAAAACUUUAAUAUUUUCUGAAAUGUCCUUAAUAAUUGUGAAAAAAUAACAAAAAAAUCCAACCUAAAAAUCAUAUUAAAAACUUAAAAAUAAUAAUAAUAAAAUAAAAAUAAAACUCUUCAAAAUAAAAAUUGAAAAUCUAUUUUUUUAAUAAAAGUAGAAAAAAAAUUAGAAUAAAGUUGAAAAGCAAAAAACAUAUUUUCUUUAAUAAAAUCCAAUUUCCCUUUUUAAUAAAUUGAGUUUUUUCUUUUAAUAAAUUAUUUUUUGUAAAAUAAAUAUUUUUUUUUUAGAAUUUGAAAUCACAUUUUUUUAAAAAUUUUGAACUGUUUUUUUCUCUUAUUUUUUAUAAUUAAUUUAAAAUAUUUUUUUUAGGAUAAACGGGGAUAACUUUAUAAAAAUAAAUAAAUUGUAAUGUUUUUCUAAAUAAAUUUGAGAGUUUUUUUUUAAACAUAAAUUAUUAUUAUUAUUUUAUAAAUAUUUUUAAAUUUAAAUAGAAAUUAGAUUUUGUCAACAAAAAAAGAUUGAAAGAUAUUUUUAUCUCUUAUAAUUUCAUAUCCUUCGCGCCAAUUAUGCUACUUACAUGUACUGAAGGUCAAUUUCAAGGCCCAACCGGUCAAAGCACAUUCUCCCAAUAAUUUUUAUUUUUUAUAUUUUGUCAUAUUUUUUGUCCAUUAAGAUAAAAAGUGUGACAGAAAUUAUGGAAUGUAUAGCAUUACUCUCAAAUCUUAUACACUAAGGAGAAUAUAGAAUUGUUCAAAUCAAGAAAGAUAAAAAAAAAUUACAAGAAUAAAUAAACUAUAAGAGCUCAUUUGAUAGUGAUUUUAUAAAACUUUUUUAGUUUAAAAAAAUGUUUUUGAAAAAAUUAGGUGUUUAACAAAUUUUGGAAAACACUUUUAAAAUUUUGAAAAAUCAUCAGUGUGUUGACAGUGAUUUUAGAAAGUAUUUCUAUCAUUUUUAAUAAUUGAAAGAUAAAAAUUUUCAAAUGUUAGAAAUAUUAUAAACACUUCAUAAAAUCACCGUCAAACGCACUCUUAACGUUAAAAACUCACUUGUAGUAUUUUAUGAAAAAACACUUGAUUAGUAAUUAUUUUACAAAUAUUUUGAGAAAAAACAAUUUCAUUAAAAACACUUUAAAUAAAAAUAUUGUCAAACGCACUCUAAGAGUAUGUUUGACAGUGAUUCUAGGAUGUGUUUCUAACAUCUUUAAUAUUUUAAAAGAUAAAAAUUUUCAAGUAUUAGAAAUACUAUAAACACUUCCUAAAAUCACUGUUAAACACAUUUCGUUUGACAGUGAUUAUAAGAAACACUUCUAAUAUUUUUAAUACUUAAAAAAUUUUAUCAUUCAAAUGUUAAAACCGUUAAAAACAUUUUUUUUUUUUAAAAAUGAAGUAUUUGACAAAAUUUAAAAAAUAUUUUUAAAAAUAUGAAAAAUCACUUAUGAUAUUGAAAAAUAAUUUAUAGUAACGUAAAAUCACUUAUAACAUUUUUUCGAGAAGUACUAAGUGAGACUUUGUUUCGAGGUCUAUAAAAAACCUAAUUGUCAUUAGGGUUUAUCCCAAGUGACAAAUUAUUAAGUGAUUUUUACAAUUUACCUUUUUCCUUUUUCUUUUUAUAAAUGGAUUCAUUUCUUGAUAUAGACGGAACACAGGCCUUUGAGGACUGGAUAGUGAUAGAUGAAUUCUAAAGUAGCAGAUGCUCUCACCCAAGUUGAAAGGCUUUUAGAGUAUUAUUAUACUAUGAUCCAUUUCUUGAGCCAAAAGAAUAGUCUCCCAAAGUGAUAGUACUCGGAAGAAUGCAACCAUUCUUAUACUCGGACUGCCUUCUAUUAACUUCAAGACUCAUUAGCUUCUCCCUCGGCAAACUCUCCGAGAAUUAGAUUGAGGAAAUGGCGGAUUGGGCACCCAUUUUGAUAGGCCUCCUCCUGUUUAUUCUGCUUUCUCCGGGGCUGAUUUUCCAGCUGCCAGGCAGCGUCCGCCACAUCGAAUUCGGAAGCUUCGGUACAAAUGGGAAGGCCAUGCUUAUACACACCAUCUUGUUCUUUGGCAUCUUUACCAUUCUCAUCAUGGCUCUCAACAUUCAUAUCUAUCUUGGUUGAUUCCAUGAAGAUCUUGGAGAUUGUGGUGUACGUUAUGGUCCAAUCUAAAAACCUUAAAUCCUACCCGCUAAUGUUCUUGAUCAAGUGAUUUAGAUGUUUUUUUAGGUCUGAUUUUACGUGGGAGGGAAAGUGAUUGAUUGAUGUUCCUUAGUUUUUUCUUCUUUUUUUUUUUUUGGGUGUUUUUGUUUUUUUUUCACAUUUGUUGAUUAUUGAUAGUGCAUGUAGCAAAUGGCUUUGCUUUUGUUUGUUUUUGUUUUCAAUAUUUCCUUUAGUAAUUAUUCAAGGAGCUUUCAAGGAAAAAAAAUUUAUAUUUGUAAUUUCAUGUUGUGCAAGGGAUAUUAGGUUUUGUGUUUUUGGAUUGGAAACAUAUUAAUUCAUUCGUAUUUCAAUUUUUAGAAAGUAUUGUAAAUAUAAUAACUGAUAAGAAAUCGAGUGAAUUAGAAUUUCCCA